Molecule: long non-coding RNA, 83414 nt
Filed under: Hordeum vulgare
Lineage: Eukaryota; Viridiplantae; Streptophyta; Magnoliopsida; Poales; Poaceae
Description: long non-coding RNA (HVUL_LNC011207)
Source: RNAcentral
GUGCCCGACCUAGCCGUCCAAGCAUGGACGCUAUCAGUAUCAAAGAGCAUAAGUCGUCAUGAUGCACUUAUUUCAAAACUGGAUACUGGUAAGCCAAAGAGGACCAAAGUUGCCACAUUGCACGGUUCAAACAUGGGCGCCUUAUAUGGUUUUGAGGAUUAAGCCGACUUACUUGGGGCUUACUAGCUCCCAAGUCGUUUUGCAGUAAGAGCGUACGCUUCUGCAAUCCUAUGUCUAGCUUUUCCCUAAUCAUAGGUCACUUGGGGGCUUCCACUCACUGAGUUCAGCCUAAAUACCCUCUUGGCUAGCGAAAAAUUAACGCAUUACAAAUGGUUAUACUGGACUGUGUGUUGGGAAAUCGCCCUAUGAUCCCAUGUACUCUUGGCGAGUCAAUCCGCUUUUGGACCCUGAACUUGCCUUGGUUAAAACAUGAAAGGUACUGGCAAGAGCCAACGCAUGGAAAAUAGACAAACCAUUGGUUCACUGAACCUGCUUCACUGAAGCCUGACUCACGCGUGAUCAGCCGGUCUAAAUAAUUCAGGCUAUUGCAAAAGCCUUCUUGGGGUAACACUAGAGUUUUGCAAACUCGUCUUGUCGUGUCGUGACUCAUCGAGCCGACAAAUUUUAUGAUUAUCUUUGUGGCACUGCCAUAAAGUUUUUAUAAAAAGUUUUAUAACUCGCCGAGACUCACUGAGUCGGCCGCCGUGACUCACUGAGCCGGCUUAACCUCUUUUGGGUACCACUAGAGCCUUGAGAGCUCGUCUUACCCGCCGAGACUUACUAAGCGGGCUAUGGUGUAACCAACACUAUUCUGUCAUAUGCAUGCAUCAUAUUGCAUUGCAUCAUGCAUCAUACAUACAUAUCAUGCCGGUCUUCAAACCGGGUCAAAGCAUAAUUUUUUGCAGGAGCAAAUAUAUCUUUGAAUAGCCAAUUGGCUGGAUUUUCAUCAUGGUUUAUCAUAACCAGUGUUAAAUGAUUGAGGUUUUUAAGGCCAUCUCGGAAGAAUUGACUAUUGUCAAAGAGCCGCCCUAUCACAUAUAAUGCCGAGUCAUCUAAUUGACUGACCCUUGGAUUUCUUCAACUCGUGCUCUGUAGUAAACUGCAACACUUAUGGAUUUCUCCGACAUAUGGAUUUCUCAAGGAUAUAUUUGCCGGGUUACAUUGCAACCAUGGUCAAGGAUUUCUUUUAUCACAAAGGCAUCAUCAGCUCACAGAGUGGAUAUGAUUUUAUUCUACAAUGGAAGGAAUAGUCCCAAGUUGUUGCAGGCACACAACCCGGCACUUGAGGGCUACAUUAUUCAGAUCAAGAUUACAUCAAAAUAUGAAAGUCCCAUGUCGCUGCAAGCAUGCGCCAUGACACUUGGGGGCUAAUGCAAUCCGCUUUUCAAAUCAUCACAUCAUCAACAGACCCGGCUACAGGUCGCUUUUUAUUCAAGUAUGGAUUCAAGGAAGAACCGGCUCAUCAUUUUUAUAAUGACCCGGUCCUUGGGAGCUACACAUUGCUGCUCAAGGUUCCAUCAUCAGAUUUACAAAGUCAUUGCUCAUUAUUUCAUAAUGACCCGACCCUUGGGGGCUACACCAUAUGAUGUUUAAUUUUCAAAGGAGAAGCACGUGGAAGUCCCGAGUCACCACAAACAAUCGACCCGUCACUUGGGGGCUACACUAUUCAGAUCAUAAUUUCUAAAGUCCCAGGUUGCCGCAGGCAAGACAACCCGACACUUGGGGGCUACAUCACUAAGUUGUUUCACAGAUCAUGAGGUUCAAAUUGAAGACCCGGCCCAUCACACACUCAUGACCUGGCUGUUGGGGGCUACAUGUAAUAUGGAUAUAUCAAAAAAUUGAAGAGCACAUUUUAUUUCGUCAUGGAGGUGAAGUAUUGGGAGACCGGUUCAACAUCACAUGGAUUUCUUUAUCCCCAAUAAUUCGAUAUAGUCUUGAGUUCAGUUGUUUGACGAGGCAUUACAAAUAAUAAUGACCCGCCAUUAGCAAUCAUGACCCGCCAUUGUCAAACAUAACCCGCCGAAGCAAGAGAAGCUGGUUCAACAUUGUGUAGAUUUCUUAUUCCCCAAAUUUUCAUCAAGCCAAAGCAUUGGAGGCCGACUCAAUUGCAUUUGUAUUUAUUUUGCAAAGGACAUGGACCUGCAAGAUGAUUGUAAAAAUGACUCAUUCAUAUGGAGAAGAGACCGGAUUUCUGAGGAGCCACUUCAUAAACCAGCCAAGGGAGCGAGCCUGUCACUUAGCAUAUUUGCUAUUCUUAUUUCAGGAGCUUACCAUGAAUAAAUUCAAGCUAACCUGGGGGCUAAUGUCGGGGAUAUACCCCGCGGUAUGACCCGGCACACGGUUAUGACUGGGCAGACAGUUAUGACCGGCAGACAAUUAUAACCCGCCAGACAGUCAAGUUCCGGAGAUGAUUCCCUGAAGAUGAAUCUUAAAGAGCAGCCCGGUUGUAAGCUGCCCGGUCAUAAGUCGCCCGGGACUCAGCAUUCCGUUUGUAAGGAGCCCGGUUGUAAGGAGCCCGGUAGUAAGCAGCCCGGUCGUAAGCCUCCUGGGACUCAGCAAUCUGUUUGUAAGCAACCCGGUCGUAAGCAGCCUGGUUGUAAGUCGCUCGGGACUCAGCAAUCCGUUCGUAAGUCGCCCGGACUCAGAAGCCCACGAAGAGAAGCUCGUAAUGGAGAGUCAUAAUAUGCUAAGCCUAAAUCCGGCUUGGACUCUAUAUGUAACUCGCCCCUUCAGCUUAUAUAAGGAGGGGCGAGACACCCCAAGAGGGUUAGGGUUUUUUAGAGGUCUCAAGAGACAGAUUCACAACUUAGGUGUAGACAAGACAGAUCAUGAGAUAGACAGAUUAGACACCCACGAGAUUAGAGGUGCAGAGUCUGCACCCUUGUAAUCGAGAUCAUCAUCUUCAUCAAUGAAACACAAGCAGGACGUAGGCUUUUUCCUCCAUCGAAGGGGCCAAACCUGGGUAAACUCGCGUCUCUCGAUUCCGACCAACCCCUUCAAGCCGCCACAUGGUUGCGAUGGCCUCACACCUAAGUCCUUGUACGAGGAGAUCUGCCGUGACAAAACCACGACACCGUGCUAGGCCAGAAGGAAGCAUCUCCAAGGGCCAUGAAAGAGAGGAGGCCAUUGAGUUUUCUGUUGACUUUAUUCCUGAUAUUAAGACGAUUGUUGUUCCUCAGUCGCGGCAUGAGGGGAGACUGAGUGGAAAAGGCAUGCUAGGACCAAAAUCAAUAAUAUGUAGGUAUGGGCAUUCUUGGAUGCAAACACACUACAUAAUUUUACAAAAUUCUACCUUGGUGGCCCCGUAUAUCAAUGAACACAAGAAUAUUCUAUGCUCCAAAUACCAGGAGCAGUCUGGUGACUCGAUUACACAUGAACAAAUGGGGACUUUCGACGGUUGGCUGCAAACACGUCUCAGGAGUAACAAAUUGUUGGAGAUGACUUGUAGUUGUUGUCCAGGACACCAUCUUCGGCCGUAUUGACUUUCCAAGGGUACGAGAUAAAUGGGAAUACAUUUUACAAAAUCGCCCAAGAUAAAAAGAGAACCAACCAAAACAGUGGUUUCCGCUUUGAUGCAGGAAACACCAAUAGGGCAAAGGACAAAUAUUAUGGUUACAUAGAGGAGAUAUGGGAACUUGACUAUGGGCGUGAUGAUUUUAAGGUCCCUUUAUUUCGGUGCAAAUGGGUAAAUCUGAUAGGAUGCGGGGUACAGGUAGACCCGCAGUAUGAAAUGACAACAGUGGAUCUCAACAAUCUUGGGUACACAGAUUAACCAUUCAUCAUAGCCAAUGAUGUGGCGCGGGUUUUCUAUGUGAAGGUCAUGUCUACCAAACCAAGAAAAAGGAAAAAAUAAGGAAGUGAAUACAUCAUACGAUGAGACAAAGAGCCACAUAGUUCUUUCAGGGAAAAGAAAGAUCCUGGGAGUGGAGGACAAGGCAGACAUGUCAGUAGAUUAUGAAAAGUUUCAUGAAAUUACUCCCUUCAUAGUGAAGAUUUACCUAAGCAUCCUCUUAAAUGAUGAAGAUUAUUCAUGGUUACGACGCAAUAAGAAAAGGGACAAACUGGAGAGAAUCUUAGCUAGUGCAUUUUGGCAUUUGAAACAUGAUUUUAGAAUAAUUAUUUAUUAAAUUAUGAAUUUUCAAUUAUUCCUGUCCUUUUAUUAUUCAAGAUAAGCCGCUUGAGGUACGAAGGAGAUUGUACAGUUUGUACACGAAGUGCAUCCAUUUUUGUUGUAACCCUCUCAACUUUCUAGACGAUGCUAUGUGGGUGAAAUGAUGAUACCAUGCCAAAUUUCAACCUUUUCCGAGUUCAUUUGUAGUGCUUUUCAAUUUCAGGGUCAUUUGACUCAAAAAACCAUUGAAUGCAUGAAAAAUAGCAAAUGAAGUCAGAAAGGGUUGAAAAUUGCUGAUGUGGCUUUGAAUGGUGCAUAUUGAAUGCGCAAAAAGUUUGGAGUAGAAAUAAGCUUAAAAAUGAAAUGCCUUUGUAACAAAUGAGUUUUUGUCCGAAACCAUCAUACUUUGAAAGAGAUUGUCCAGUUCGUACACGACGUUCAUCCAGUUUUUGCCGUAACUCUCUCAACUUUUUAUCACAUGCUAUGUGGGUGAAAUGAUGAUAGCAUGCCAAAUUUCAACCUUUUCAGAGUUCAUUUGUAGUGCUUUUCAAAGUAAUAUGUGGGUGAAAUGAUGAUCCGGAAGAAACAUUUUGACAGCAUUAAUCGCCCCGUGUCAUAUUUUCAAAAACAUAUUGAUAAACCACCACCCAAUGCUAGCCCUUGAAUGCGAAAUGUUGCGGGAAUGGUACCUAUGAAAAAUAUCUCUAUAGAGCUAUUAGUCACUCUUUGAUGAAAACCUAUAUAAUCAAUCAUUGCAUUCAUACAAUCAUUCACUCUAGCAAGCAUUCCAGUAAUCAAAAUACAAUCAAUGAAUAAAGCAAUAAAUAAAACAAUAAGGUUAUUAGGUUAAAAAAAGUAUUUUAUAAUAUUCUUCAAUAGCAAAAAGAAUCAACUAGAAAGCUUUUAUAAAACUCUUGUUAUGAUCAAAAUAUUAUUAACUUAACAUUAUAUAAAAUUUAACCAACUAAAAUUUUCAUGAAGUAUUUUUUCUUAAAAACUUUAAUAGUAAACAUAAUUAAAUGAAAACUAGGCAUGUAUGCAUCUGUUUAAAAGAAAACUAGGCAUGUAUUUUUUUCUCCAACGUAUCGAUAAUUUUUUAUUGUUCCAUGCUAUUAUAUUAUAUGUUUUGGAUGUUUUAUAUGCAUUUAUAUGUUGUUUUAUAUUAUUUUUGGGACUAACCUAUUAAUCUAGAGUCUAGUGCGAGUUUCUGUUUUUCCACAUUUUUGAAUAUUGUAGAUAAAGAAUAUUAAAUGGAGUCCAAAUGGAAUAAAAUCUGCGAAAAGAUUUUUUUCUCGACGAGAAGACACGUAACAUACUUAGGGUAGGGGGCAAGGCAGUUGUCGGGAGGCCACAAGCCUGCAGGGAGCAACGAGAACACUUUUACGCCGCCGGGAAACCCCUGCACGUCUUCUAACCCUAACUCUUGGCCUAUAAAUUCCCAAAUAUUCCAGAAACACUAGAGGGAGCAACGAGAAUGCUUUUACGCCGCCGGGAGCCUCUGUUCCCAAGAGAUCCAAUCUGGAAGCCUUGUCCGGCAAUCUGCUGGAGAGGGAAUUGAUCACGGAGGGCAUCUACAUCAACUCCAUUGCCCCUCUGAUGAUGUGUGAGUAGUUCACCACAGACCUAUGGGUACAUAGCUAGUAGCUAGAUGGCUUCUUCUCUCUCUUUGAUCUUCAAUACGAUGUUCUUCAUGAUCUUCAUGGAGAUCUAUCCGAUGUAAUACUCUUUUGCGGUGUGUUAGUCGAGAUCCGAUGAAUUGUGAGUUUAUGUUCAGAUUAUCCAUGAAUAUUAUUUGAAUCUCUUUUGAAUUCUUAUAUGCAUUAUUUCAUAUCCUUGCAAUUCUCUUUGAAUUAUUUGUUUUGUUUAGCCAACUAGAUUGAUAAUUCUUGCAAUGAGAGAAGUGCUUAGUUUUGGGUUUAAUCUUGCGGUGUCCUCACCCAGUGACAGUAAGGGGUAGCAAGGCACGUAUUGUAUUGUUGCCAUCAAGGGUAAAAAGAUGGGGUUUUCAUCAUAUUGCUUGAGUUUAUCCCUCUACAUCAUAGCAUCUUACUUAAUGUGUUACUCUGUUCUUCAUGAACUUAAUACUCUAGAUGCAGGCAUGAGUCGGUCGAUGUGUGGAGUAAUAGUAGUAGAUGCAGAAUCGUUUCGGUCUACUUGAUACGGACGUGAUGCCUAUAUGCAUAAUCAUUCCCUUGGAUAUCUUCAUAAUUAUUUGCUUUUCUAUCCAUUGCUCAACAGUAAUUUGUUCACCCAUCGUAUUAUUUUCCUUUAUGAGAGAAGCCUCUAGUGAAACCUAUGGCCCCAGGGUCUAUUUUUCAUAUCAUAUUUUCAGAUCUAUAAACCAAAAAUACCAAAAAUACUUUGCUACAAUUUAUUUACUUUAGUUUUACUUUCAGAUCUAUCAAUAUUUAAUACCUAUCUCUAUCAGAUCUCACCCUUGCAAAUAACUCUCAAGGGAUUGACAACCCCUUUAAAGCUUUGGGUGCAAGUUUUUGAUUAUUUGUGUAGGUACUACUAUUGGAGUCUUGUUUGUUACUCCUACUGGAUUGAUACCUUGAUUGUCAACAAACUGAGAGAAAUACUUAUCUACUUGGUUGCAUCACCCUUUCCUCUUCAAGGGAAAAUCAACGCAAGCUCAAGAGGUAGCAAGCGCCGCCCCAAUCCCCUACACUUCAUUAACCCUGAUGCCCUCGGCGCCGUCGCCUCCCACACCGUUGCCGACGCGCCCCCCACGCUAUCCCCGAGCCCUUCCUCGUCGCCGACGCCUCUUCGCUAUGAGUGCCCCCCGAUCCCCUCCUCCCGUCGAGGGAGUUGAAAAUGUUUUGGCAAAACGUGGGUUCAUUUAUGUAUCAUCGAAUUUCUGGCAUUCAGUAUGUCCAUUUUUUACCAAUGGUCUUGUCAAUUUUUCCAUUGAUUUUUUAUUCUAUGCAUGCAACACAAAAUGGAAGAAUGCCCGUAUAGUUUUGACGCAGCUGUAUGUGCGACGAUCCUCACCUUGACUAUAGUAAAUGUUAUUCCAUCACUCUACAAUGUGACUACAACUAUUAUAAUUUUAAGUUUGCUAGCAAAUACAAUUUUCUGUUUUCCUUCAAACUGUAAUUUAUGUUUUAUAUUUGUCAACUAGUGUGUCCCUUGCUAUGCAAGACCUUUUCUCCUAGACAAAUUUUUUGUUAGUGACAUGGAAGAAGUGACUCAGAUGACUACUUACCUCAAGAUGAAAGGUGGUUUCAAUUUCAAAUGUACGAUCUAUAAUUAGGUAGAUCAUACAUAUUCUAGUUGUGCUAAUAGAAAGGAUUGACCAAAGCAUACGGUUUUGAGCCUGUUAUGAAAAUAACAUUUGAUAUUGGCACAUAUUCUGUAAGUGAUGACGACACAUGGGUGAAUUUAGACAUGAUGCCCACCUCCGUGUAAGUUUCUUAGAUAGGCUUGUUAAAUAACACUUAGAUUAUACACCAAAAUAGAUGUUAUUCAACUAGAACUUAUCUUCUUUAUUUAGAAUUGAUAGCUUAUUUUCUAUCUCCAAGAAAUAUAAGGGACAUAGUAGACGACACCUAUUACACUAUCUGCAGUAUGCUUACUUGGCAGGAAAAAUGUUACCUUAUGUUCUUUCUUGCUAACAUUGAGUCCCUUAAGGGCAUUUAUGGGGCUUGUCCGAAUGAUGCACGACACCUGCCACUAGUCCAUACCUUGAACAAAGGCAACAUUUGUGGAAAAUGCAUGGUAAGAGUUUCGACUAUAGCAUGUCUUUCACAUAUUUGCUUUCUUCUUACAGAAGUCAAGUGUCGGUUACUAAAUGUUGCUUAGUAUGUUACUAUUUCGUUCAAGGACAGAAGCUCUCAAGAUGGGUUGUGCCUCCGAUGAUGGAUGACCACGAGGAUGUUAUGGCAAUUAUUUUUGCCCACAAGAUCUAUUUCAGAGGUACAUACUUGAUUACACUAGAUGGGCAUCUUAAAAUAAAUGAAUGGAAGCAACUAGUGAGUGACUGCAACUUGAAGAUUGGGGAUUGGUGGCUCUGCGUACUCCACCAUGGAGAUGCAGGGUUUUUUCUAUACUUCAAGAUUGUUCCUACAGGAGAGGAGUACCGUAUUAGUAGUUACGAUGGUUAAUGUUUGUAUAUAUAUAUAAAUGAUGUGUACCAUAAUAUUAAUUAUAUUUUACGUGUUGUAAUAUCUCAUCGGCAUCAAUUUGGGAUGCAAAUGUGGUUCUCUAUAUAAUGAUACAAAAUUGCGUUGUCGUGGAGGCAUUUUUCGCUGCCAUGGCAGCAUUUUUGCUGCGUUUUGUCAAUUAGUAAUGACGUGUGGAAAAAUGUACGACGUCCGUAAUGAUCUCCCUAGUUUCUAACAUUUGGAAAGAUUGCACGCUAUAUAUAUGUAUGAUAUUGUUGUCAUGGAGAUAUGACCAACGCCAUAGCUACCUGAAAUACUGUUGGCGCUGGCUCCAACGUCACCACAAUUUUUAAUUGAUGCGCCAUAUUGGUAGUAUCGGGUGUCCAUGCCAGUAAGGCCGUUUUUACCACUCCAUAGAGAAGCUUUUCUACACUAGUGUUAAUUUCAAUCCAGUUGAAAGUCACCCUUUACUCGCAAGUAGUCUCGUACUUUGUUCUUCUCCUUGUUGCAAAUCCCUUCUCGAGUCGCAAUUGGGCCUGUAGUAGGUGUUUUUGCACUUGCAAGUUCAUCCCUCGACUCGCAACUGGGCCCAUACGUGUUGUCGACUUACCGUUUUGAAGCCCAUGCCUGGGCUCGCAACAAGGCCCAUAUGUGUUGUAGUCUUCCUCUUUGCAAGCCCACCCCCUCGACUCGCAUCCCUCCCUAUAGUUUUUUCUAACCCAGUUUCAAGUCCAUCCUUCACUCACAAACCGGGCCCGUACUUUUUGCUCUUUCCAAGUUAUAAGUCCCCCUCGAGUCGCAACUAGGGCCCAUAGGGUGUAGUUGUUGUCCCACUUGCAAACCCAUCACUCGACUCGCAAUUCGGGCCCAUGGGUGUUUCCAACUAGGUUCUAAGUUCAUCCUCCUCUCGCAAUUGGGACGUAUCUUUUGUUUUUGUCCCAGUUACCAGUCCUGCUCGAAUAGCAACUCGUCUCAUAGGUAUUCUUUUCUUCCCAAUUUCAAGCCAAUCCCUUGGACUCGCAACUUGGCUCCUAGUUAUUUUCAACCGAGUUGCAAGUCCAUUUUUGACUUGCAAAUGGGCCCAUAUUUUUUAUUCUUGCACCCAUUUCAAGUCCCCCCUUGACUUGUAACUCGACCUGUACUUGCCCUUGUCCUAGUUGCAAGUCCCCCAUCGAUUCGAAAUGGGCCCGUCGUAAGUGUGGUCCGACUUGCAAUGCAUUCCUCGACUCACAACUGGCCCCAUAUGUGUUGGUCUUCCCUGUAGCAAGCCUACCUCUCGAUUUGCAACUUGCCAUGUACUUAUUUCCAAUCCCGUUGCAUGACCAUCGACUAGCAAGUCCACCGAUGUUGGUGUCGUCCUGGUUCCAAGCCCGCCCCUCAAAUCUCCUUUACGCCAUUCACUGCGGCACAAUGUCAUUGUAUCACACAACGGUAGAAGCGAGCAAAUUGCAGAUGGAUCGGCCCAAGUCGCUAUGAUCCAUUUUGCUUGUCUUGUUUUUCUUCAUGGUUUGUCCUUGUUUAUCAGCCUGGGCAUUUGGGUACCCUAACCCGCUACCCGAGCCCGAACUGAACCGAAUUACUUGACAAUUCGGGUAAUUCGGGUAUCGGGUUAGGGUUCGGUUCUCAUUUCCUGGCUAUUCGGUUUUCGGGUUGGGGUUCGGGUUCUAGUCUGAAAAACCCGAAAUACCCAUACUACUCGAAUUAUUCAUACUAGCCAAAUUAUUCAUGCUAUUAUUACACUCACAUGUUACCCAUACUAACUAAAAUAGCGAGACUAUCCAAAAUACCCACACUACCCAAAUUAUUUAUACCAAAAUUUGAUGUGUGCUCCAAAUAUUUUGGGAUCUUUGGGUACCCAAAUUAUCCGAACCAAAAUUUUGGGUAAUUUGAGUUUGGGUACUUUUUUGGCAGAAAAAUUCGGGUUCCCAUUUUGAGUACACAAAUUACCCAUAAACCGAACUAUCCGAACCGAAAUAACCAAAGUACCCGAACGCCCACGUUGACUUGUUUAUCCCUUUUUUCCUUUUUUUUCUUCGCUAGCUUUUCUUUCCUUUUUAAUUUUUUUGUUUUUUAAAAAUAUUAUUUUUUAUUUUCAUUUUAUUAUUAAUCAUUGUUUAGAAAGUGUAUAAUUUGAAAAAAAAAAUCUUUUUCAAAAAGUGCUUGGAUUUUUCAAAAGCAAAUUAAGUUCUUGUUAUUCAAAAAAUAAUUGCAGGUUUAAAAAAUGAUUGUGUUUUAAAAAAAAUACUCAAAUGCUGAAAUAUUUAUUCCAUUUUAAAAAAAUGUUCACAAAUGAUGUCCGUCUGUCAGUAACUCUUAAGCUUUACAUAUACUGGACCAAGGGUGACACCAUGUUAGAUGACCCCUAGUCACAAAAAACAAUUCAAAAACUUAAAAAUUGUUUGUAUUCUCAUAAAUAUCCCUCAUAUUUCAAAAUUCUUCAUAAUUUGCAGAAAAAUUAACUUCUUUUCAAAAAUGUCUACAAAUCUUCACGCUUUACUUUGUUCUUAAGUGUUUCCCGCUUCUAAAACAUCACAAACAUUGAUGUGUUGUAAUGGUAAGAGUUGGUGCUCAGCAGUAUGAGGUCCUAUGUUUGAUUCUUUAGGAGCGCAAUAUGUAUCUCUUUUUGUUGCACUUAAAAAGAAUCCAAAAAACAAAUAUUCCCUCGGUGCCUAAAUAUAAGUCUUUUAGGAGGUUUCAGUAAGGGGACUACAUGCGGAUGUAUAUAAACAUAUUUUAGAGUAUAGAUUCACUUAUUUUGCUUCGUAGGUAAUCUCUAGUAAAAUCUUUAAAAAGACUUAUAUUUAAAAAUGAAGGGAGUAAUAAAAGUUAGAUGUGAGGUAUUAUGUCACGUCUAGAUGAGAUGUGACAUAGUUGGAUCCUUUCCUUUUGGUGGAGUAUUUUGCCCACGGCCUGGAUGCAGGAGGCCCAACCGUGGCUUGAGAGCAGAAAUAAUAAAUCACGGCAUAAUGAGCAUUGUAGUUAGCAAGUCCUUGCCGGUGGUGGUCGUCGGCCCUUGCGCCGGCAUCGUCCAUCUCUCCUCUUUCGACAGGUGCAUGCCUCCCUUCCCAGUCACUCUGCUUCUUGUCUUCAACCAGCCAAUCGAAGACCCCGUCGAGACCAUCAAGAAGGCGCUGUCGCAGGCGCUGAUGCACUAUCCCCCGAUGGCCGGCCGCACCGGCGACGACGGGGAGGGGGAGCUCCACAUCGCUUGCACCGGCGAGGGUGUCUCUUUCGUGGGUGCGUCGGCUAGCUGUGCCCUCGACGACGAGGCCACGAGAUCGGCGCUGCUCCUCAGCGACCUCGCCGUUGGCUACCCCGCCGAAUACUGCCGCCUCAGCGACCCCUUCCUGCUUAUGCAGGUGACCGAGUUCUCCCGCGGCGGGUUCAUCGUCGGCGUGACGUGGAACCACGUCAUGGCCGACGCGGCGGGGAUGGCGCAGUUCCUGCGGGCCGUUGGCGAGCUCGCCCGGGGGAUGCCGGCGCCGGCCGUCGCUCCGGUCAGGUCUGAAAUCGACGGCUCGGUGCCACGACUCCCGCCGCUGAUGGUCGCCGCUGUGAGGUCCCAGAUGCGCAUGGAAACGGAGGAACUCGCGAGCCUCGACGUCACCAUCCCCUCGAGCUUGAUCGGCCGCAUCAAAGAAGAGUGCGCCGGCGACUGCACGGUGUUCGAAGCCGUCGCAGCCGUGCUCUGGCGGUGCCGCACCCGCACGGUCAUCUCCGAUGCUGACACCGACGACCCUGUGGCCUUCGCCUUCCCGAGCAACGUGCGCGGCCUCGUCGGCGCCAAGGAAGGCUACUACGGCAAUUGCGUCGCCAUGCUGCAGGUCCAAGCCAGUAGCGCCGCGGUGGCGAGCGGCGACAUGAAGGACCUGGUGAAGCUCAUCAAGCUUGCAAAGGAGAAGGUAUCAGACAUAUUCGUGAAUGCCGGCGACGAGACCAGCGACGGUGCCAGUAGAGAUGAGCAGCAGCGGGCACACCCGCGCUCAAGGUACAACACGCUGAGUGUCACGAGCUGGAGGAACCUUGGGUUCGAAGCCGUGGAUUUCGGGCCUGGGAGGCCGGCGCGCGUGAUGUGGAAGCCACACCGGACGAUUGGGUUCGUCUGCGUUGUGUGCCCGCCGUGCAAUGCAAGGGGGGAGGACGGCGUCAACGUCGCGUCCUUUUGCGUCAAGCCGGAGCACGCCGGCGCGUUUGUAGCGGAGUUGGCGGCCCUCAACAUAUAAAUGCGAAUUCGUAGUAUCAUGUACUAGUAUCAUAUAAUCCCUCCGUUCCUAAAUAUAAGUCUUUUAAUCAAUUUCACUAAGAGACUACAUACAGAGCAAAAUGAAUAAAUCUACAAUCUAAAGUAUGUCUAUAUACAUCCGUAUAUAGUCCUUUAGUGGAAUAUCUAAAAAGACUUAUAUUAUGGAACGGAGGGAGUAUAUGAUAGUAGUGUAUGAUACCACAUCCGUAAUGCAUAGUAUCAUACGUUACUAUCAUAGAAUAGUUCAUUUAUUGUAAUGCAAGACACAUACAGUAGACCAAGCAGCUAGCUUGGUAAGCUACCAGCAAAAACUUGCAAUCAAUCAAAAAAAAAGACACAUACAGUAGUAGCACAUCAUUUAAUAUGAUACGAUAUCAUGGUAUGGUACUCAACCCUUUCUUUUUUCAUUUAAUUCUAUGUCACCUCAUCGAAAUUGCCUAGUUGGCAUGCAUGUACUACCUAUGAUACUACCAUUACGGGCAGCUUAAUACUUCAUUUUCAAUCAGAGUGUAAACCUAAAAUGGACGAAUUAAUUAGUCUCGCACUUUUUUUCAUACUACUCCAUCUGUCCCGGUGUAUAAGUCAUCUUACGAAACCAAAUAAUUUCAAAAUACUUAACCGCGGUAUUUUUUUUUAAUUUUUUGACAUGAAUAAAGGAAUCACCAAUAAAAGGCGGGAGACAUGUAUGUUUUUAAUGAUGUGAGACUAACUAGCACGACAUGCGGUGAUCAAUUCAUUGCAUGUAAUUGUAUUAAUUAGAAAACUAGCAUUGAUUUUUCUCGUUUUCCUUUUCGUCUUUGUCACGGUACAUAACCUAAGAUGACUUAUACACCGAAACGACGGGAGGAACAAACAUGCAUGCCCACACCACGUCUCUCUUCUCGUACUUGUAUGCCGUGCCCUUUUGCAUAAAGUCCGAGCAAUUCGACGCUUUGUUAGUGGAGUUGACUGCCCCCAAAAUAUAAUGCCAACUACAUCUUUGAUGGUGCAUGUUGCAAGAACCGCCUAUUUUUAUGAAAUAAUAAAUAGUUUUUAUUUAUAUAUUUGUCCAUAAAUAAAGUUUUAAAAGAUGGAUAUAAAUUUAUUCUUAAAGUUUAGAUGAUGCAAAUAGUUGAAAAGUAUUUGCCCUACUCAUACUAAGUAACAUAAUACAAAUAACAUUAGGAAUCAGUUCUUUGAGCUUGUGUUGGACCCUGAAUUUUAUGAAACAUACUUACAUUAAUAAAAUGGUUGCAUGCAUCGUCAUGAUACAGAGACCGGGGACGAUCCUUGUUUUAUUUUUGAAAAGGCUUGCAUGGCAAGUACAAUAAAGCCCAAUCAACCACAUGUCUUCAAAACUGCCACAAGAAUAGUGGCCCAAUAGGACAAACAUGCCAGAUCACGGUAAACUGAAGCUGGAACAGAGAUCUAAAGGCUAGAAAUGAUCUAAACGUGAAAUACAACGACCGAAAUUUGUUGGGCGCUCAGUUUAGAUGCACUUUUAUUGUCCUCAAUUCAUAGUGCAUUUACAAUUCCCAAAAUAAUUUCUUCAAAUUUUGGGGUGAACCUAAAAUGGACCAAUCAAACGAUCCCAAACGGUUUUCUCAUAUAUGGUUACCUUUGCUUAUUGAUUUUUUUAGUACGGUUCAUAAGUUUUUCUUGAAUGAUUUUAAGAUUGAUACGCCUCUGCGACGAGGACCCCGACGCCUCUGCGCCCCUCGCGUUCACGAGCAACGUGUGUGGUCUCAUCGGCGCCAAGGAAGGCUACUACGGCAACUGUGUCAUCGUCCAGGUGAUACAAACAACAAGCGGUACAGUGGCGAGCGGAAAAAUCAAAGACCUCGUGGAGCUCAUCGGGCUUGCCAAGGAGAAGGUAUCAAACAUAUUCGUGAAUGGUGGCGAUGAGACCGGUGCCGGUGGUGGAGAUCAACAUCAGCUGGCAGCCGCGAGGUACAACACUCUUUGUAUCUCGAGCUGGAGGAACGUUGGGUUUGAAGCUGCGGAUUUCGAGGGUCGGCUGCGCCUCUAGCCACACAAUAUACAGCUCUUUUUAAUAUUGUACAAAGUAAGGAUUCUUAUGUUGCUACAAUUAUGCAACCAGUUCCUCUCAAUAUUCAGUUUAGGAGAUCUCUAGUAGGGGAAUGAUGCAAUGCAUGGCUCCAUCUAGUUCGCAGAUUGAUGGAAAUUCACUUGUCGGAAGAACCUGACACGAUUCAUUGAAGAUUAACUAUAAGCGGUAGUUUUUCAGUGAAAUCAAUGUAUCUGGAUAUUAUCAAUGCCGUAAUAAUACCCACUUGUCCACACAUUUUGAAAAUUAAAGUAUCUCUGAAGAUUAAGAUUUUCACGUGGUUUGUUCAUAAAGGACUUAUACUUACAAAAGAUAAUUUGGUUAAACGAAAAUUGGUAGAGGUAAUUCUAGAUGCUGCUUUUGUGAUCACAACGAGACUACUAAACACCUCUUUCUCGAGUGCCCUUUGACAAGACUUUUUAUGGUGUAGAUACGUCUCCAGCGUAGCUAUAAUUUAUAAAGUAAUCAUGCCAUGUUUAUCAUAAUUCUAUAUGAUUUUGGUAUGGUUUGAUUAGAACUAACCCGGACUGACGUUGUUUUCAGCAGAACUAUUGUGGUGUUGUUUUUUGUGCAGAAAUAAAAGUUCUUCAAAUGCAACAAAACUUUUAGACAAUUUUUUAUAUAAGGAAAUAGCCCGAGGAAGCUUCGAGGAAGAACCAGAAGAUGCUCAGGGUGCCCACACAACACCAUCGCACGCCCCCUGGGCGCGCCCUGAUGUUGUGUGGCCCCCCUGAGGCCCAUCUCCGCGUGAUUCCGACACUGAAAAAUCAUAUAUAUCAAGAAACCUCCGAAAGUUAACUAAGAACUUGGACUCCGCCGCCGCACGCCACUGUAUCCUCCAAAAAGCAAUCUGGACCCUCUUCCGGCACCCUGUCGGAGGGGGAAAUCAUCACCGGAGGCCAUCUUCAUCAUCCCGACAGCCACCAUGACAUGGAGGGAGUAGUCCACCCUCGAGGGUAGGGGUAUGUACUAGUAGCUAUGUUUUUGAUAUCUCUCUCCUGUGAUAAUGAGAUGUCACGAUCUUGAUGUAUCAUGGGCAUUGUUGAUAUAGAUGGAUCAUAUGAUGUUUCUCUCCUCUCCAUCCUUGGUGUGAUGAAUUGAAUCUUUUCCCUUUGAAGUUUUGUUAUUGUCAGAUUGAAUAUUCAGAUUUGGGAACACAUGAUGUAUGUCUUGCAUAAUCAAUAUUCGAGGUGACAAUGGGGUAUCAUAUUGAUUCACUUGAUGUAUGUUGUGGCACUCAACUUGCUGAUUCCUGUACUGACAUUGGGGUAAUCUAUGCAUAUGGGUUGAUGCACGUUUUCAUUAUCUUUUCUCUGAUAGAAACUUUGGGGAGUCCUUGUAGUUCUUUGUGUGGAUUGAAUAUUAUGAUUAUGAAGUUGUUUGAUGCAUAACGUAGAAUCAACUCACGAAUACUUGUGGUGACAUUGGAGUAUCUAGGUGACAUUAGAGUUGGUUGAUGUUGGGGAUAUAACCCCACGGUAUAAACCGUCCUAUUGGUCUGGGUUACUGAAGAUGGUGACUCAACGUUCAUAGUCAGGGCGGCCCCUGAUGUGCAAGAUUGGAGGCGCAAGGCGGGUCACCAAGAUGAGACCGUUGGCGGCCCAGGACACGAAGAUGGCGAUUUAAGGCCCAAAAGGAAGAAGGUCGCCAGGAGUUUCCUUGCUUAGGAGCAAGGCGAGUUAGAGACAUAUCGGGUCACAAAUCAUAACGUGACCCGGGUUCUUGUAAGCUUAGGGUCUCGACCUGUAUAUAAAGGCGAGUCCCCAAGGACAAUAGACUUAAGUUACAAUCCAUCGAGAGCCAAAUCAAGCGAAUUCGCACCCUUGUAAUCAAUUUCAUCAUCAAUAUACACAAAGCAGGACGUAGGACUUUACCUCCAUCGGAGGGGCCGAACCUGGGUAAACUCGUCUCUCGUUCCCGAUCAACCCCUUUGAGUCGCCGCAUAGUUGCGAUGGCCUCAUCACUAAGUCCUUUCACGAGAAAAUAUGUCGUGACAAAACCAUGACAGUUGGCGCCCACCAUGGGGAAGUCGCACGAUGGAGUUGAGUUCUCAAAGGGAGCCCUUCUAGGGUUCUGGAGCUACGCAGUUGGUCUUGUUGGAAAUAUUCCGUAGAGGCAAUAAUGAAAUAGUUAUUAUUAUAUUUCCUAUUUCAAGAUAAUCGUUUAUUAUCCAUGCUAUAAUUGUAUUGAAUGGAAACACAAGUGCGUGUGUGGAUACAUAGACAAAACAAUGUCCCUAGUGAGUCUCUAGUUGACUAGCUCGUUGAUCAAACAUGGUUAAGGUUUCCUAGCCAUGGACAAGUAUUGCCAGUUGAUGACGGGAUCACAUCAUUAGGAGAAUUAUAUGAUGUACAAGACCCAAACUAUAACCGUAGCAUGUGAUCGUGUCAUUUUGUUGCUAUUGUUUUUCUGCAUGUCAAGUAUAUGUUCCUAUGACCAUGAGAUCAUCUAACCCACUGACACCGGAGGAAUUCCUUGUAUGUAUCAAACAUCGCAACGUAACUGGGUGAUUAUACAGGUGUUCUACAGGUAUCUCCGAUCGUGUCCGUUGAGUUAGUAUGGAUCGAGACUGGGAUUUGUCACUCCGUAUGACGGAUAGGUAUCUCGGGGCCCACUGGGUAAUAGAACAUCACAAACAUGCCUUGCAAGCAAUGUGACUAAAGAGUUAUCCACGGGAUCUUGUAUUACAUAACGAGUAAAGAGGCUUACCGGUAACGAGAUUGAAAUAGGUAUGGAGAUACCGACGAUCGAAUCUCGGGCAAGUAACAUACCGAAGGACAAAGGGAAUGAUACACGCGAUUAACUGGAUCCUUGACAUAGAGGUUCAACCGAUAAGAUCUUCAUAGAAUAUGUAGUAUCCAAUAUGGGCAUCCAGGUCCCGCUAUGGUAUAUUGAACAGAGAGUGUCUCGGUCAUGUCUACAUAGUUCUCGAACCCGCAGGGUCUGCACACUUAAGGUCCGGUGACGUUUUGGUAUAGUUGAAUUAUUGAUAUUGGUAACCGAAUGUUGUUCGGAGUCCCAGAUGAGAUCCCGGACGUCGCGAAGGUUUUCCGAAUGGUCCGGAGAGGAAGAUUAAUAUAUAGAAAGUAUCCAUUUGGCUUCCGGAAGGUUUCCGGGCAUUACCGGUAAAGUACCGGGAGAGACGAAUAGGUUCCGUAGUUCCACCGGGAGGGGCCACUCACCCGGGAGAGAACCAAAGAGGCCCAGGGUGGCACACCAUCCCCUGGUGGGCUGGUGGCCAGCCCAAGUGGGCCUGGUUCAGACGAAGGAGGAGAAAGGAAAGGAGAGGUGGGGCAAACCGAAAUAGGAAGGGACUCCUCCUCCCAAUCGGAUUGGAGGGUGACUCCUCUUCCUUCCAUGGCGCGCCAGCCAACCCUAGGGAUUUUUCCCUAGGGCGCCACCCCUCCCUCUCUCCUAUAUAUAGUGGAGGUGAGAGAAGCUUUUGGCACCCAAGCCAUAGUACAACCCUCUCUCCCUCCACCACUUCGUGACACCCCGUAGCUAGUUCGGUACGGCACGGCGAAGCCCUGCCAGAGUAACUCCACCACCAUCACCGCCACGUCGUUGUGCUGCUGGAGAGUUCAGCUACCUCUUUGCCUCUCUUGCUGGAUCCACAAGGCAGAGAUCGUCAUCGAGAUGUACGUGUGCUGAAUACAGAGGUGUCGUCCGUUCGGUACUAGAUCGGGACGGACUUCGUGGGACGCUUGCGAUUCGGAUUGCGAAGACGUUCGACUACAUCAACCGCAUUUAUUAACGCUUCCCGCUUAGCGAUCUACAAGGGUAUGUGGAUCCGAUCUCCCCUCUCGUAGAUUAUCAUCACCAUGAUAGGUUUUGCGUGUGCAUACGAAAUUUUUUGUUUCCCAUGCGACGUUCCCCAUCAGUGGUAUAAAAGCUAGGUUCAUGCGUAGAUGAUAUCUUGAGUAGAACACAAAAGAGUUUGUGGGUGUUAAUGUUCAAUUUUCUGCCCUCCUUAGUCUUUUCUUGAUUUAGCGGUAUUGUUGGAUUGAAGCGGCCCGGACCAACAUUCCUCAUGCGCGUACGAGAGACCGGUUUCAUCGACUAACAUUCAACUUGUUGCAUAAAAAUGACUGGCGGGUGUUUGUUUCUUCAACUUUAGUUGAAUCGGAUUUGACCGAGGUGGUCCUUGGAGAAGGUUAAAUAGCAAUUUGCACACCAUCGUUGUGGCUUUGCAUAAGUAAGAUGCGAUCAUACUAGAUACCCAUAGCAGUCAUGUAAAUUUUGCAACAACAAAUUAGAGGACGUCUAACUUAUUUUUGCAGGGUAUGCAUGUGAUGUGAUAUGUCCAAUGACAUGACAUGAUAUAUUGGAUGUAUGAGAUGAUCAUGUUGUAAUAAUUAAAUAUCGACUUGCACAUCGAUGCUACGGCAACCGACACGAGCCAUAGGGUUGUAUUUAAUUAUUUUGUGCUUGGUGAUGCUUUUCUUUAUCGCUAGUAGUAGCUUUAGUAGUAACAUCAUAGUUAGCGCGACAACCUCGAUGGAAGCAUGAUUAUGGAGAUGAUGGUGUGGCGACGGUGACGAUGGAGGUCAUGCCGGUGCUUUGGUGAUGGAGAUCAAGAAGCACAAGUUCAUGGCCAUAUCAUGUCACUUAUGAUUUGCAUGUGAUGUUAAUCCUUCUAUGCACCUUAUUUUGCUUAGGACGACGGUAGCAUUAUAAGGUGAUCCUUCACUAAAAUUUCAAGAUAAAAUUGUUUUCUCCCCGACUGUGCACCGUUGCGAUAGUUCGUCGUUUCGAGACACAAAGUGAUGAUCGGGUGUGAUAGACUCUACGUUCACAUACAACGGGUGCAAAACAGUUGUACCACGCGGAACACUCGGGAUAAACUUGAGGAGCCUAGCAUGUACAGACAUGGCCUCGGAACACAAGAGACCGAAAGGCCGAACAUGAAUCAUAUAGUUGAUAUGAUCAACAUGGAGAUGUUCACCAUUGAAACUAAACUCAACUCACGUGAUGAUCGGACUUGAGUUAGUGAAUUUGGAUAAUGCGACACUCGAAUGACUAGAGGGAUGUCAAUUUGAGUGGGAGUUUAUUAGUAAUAUGAUUAGCUAAACUCAAUUAUCUUAAACAUAGUCUAAGUAAUCUUUGCAAAAAUUUAUGUUGUAGAUCAAUGGCUCGCGCAGUAGAAACCCUUAAUUUUAAUGCGUUCCUAGAGGAAGCUAAGCUGAAAGAUGAUGGAAGAAACACUGUUGACUAUGCCCGUAAUCUGAGGCUUAUCCUCACGGCUGCCCAAAAGCAAUAUGUCAUUGAUGCAGCACUAGGUGAUGCUCAAAGAGAGAUAAAUUGCCAUCCAGGUACUGGCUAUGGACCCGUAGGUCUGUGGUGAUCCACUUACAUAUCAUCAUGAGGGCAUCAAGGUUGAUGAAGAAGCCCUCGGUGAUCGAUCCGACCUCUGGCAGAGUGCCGAGACAGAGCUCUAGAUGGACCCCCGUCAGAACAGAGACUUGUGGCAGCGUAAAAAGUGUUUCCGGACCUCCGUCGAUGUUUUAGGAUAGAUGAGAAUUUAUAGACUAGAGAACAGAGUCGGGAGAGCCGCGAGGGGGCCACAAGCCAUUAGGGCGCCCCCUGACCGCGCCCUGUUGGCUUGUGGGGCCCUCGUGCACCCUCGUGCCUCCUUUCGAUGCUCCACGGUCUUGUUUUAGUCCAGAAAAAAAUCACAAAAAGUUUUAGGUCAAUUGCACUUCACUUGGUACUAAACCGUAAAAAGUGGAAAACACGCAGAAAACAACAACUAGCACUUGGCACUGGGUCAAUAGGUUAGUGCUCAAAGAUAAUAUAAAUUGGUAGAUAAUUAGUUCAUAAAAAAUGUUCUAAAAUGAUAACAUAAUAGCAUGGAACAAUCAAACAUUAUAGAUACGCUGGAGACAUAUCAUUGUACCGCUCGCUAGGGUUUUCUGCAUGGUACUUGUGUGCACUGAUUGUACCGGUGCACGAAGAGGUUGUACUGCUGUAGUGUAAAAACCGUUGUAACAGUUGAAUUUGGGGGCACUAUAAAAGGGGAUGGUUCUUCCACCGACCUUCUUACCUCUUACCUCUCUCUUUCUCUCUCUUUCCUUCAUUAAUGCCCUCCAAGCUUUCUUGCUCGAUCUCUCUUCCACUCAUUAAUGCUAGCAUCAUCGUACAUUUGGAGUCGACACACUUUGCUAGAGGCCGCUACCGGCUAGCCGAGCUGGAUGUGAUCUGACUUGCAACCAAGUGAACGAGAACCUAAGGGGUCGUGCUCUUAAGAGAAGGAUUCUACGAGGUCAUAUACGAGGACACUGGUCGGAUGUGAUCUGAGCUGGACUUAGAUCAUGACCAAGUAGACUUUAGGCUUUAGGAUCCAUGUGAGGCCCAAAAUUGAGACCGCGACGGAUGCCUAUAUAUAAUGGGGGUACCACACACAUAUUCGGUCGAUUGCUUCAGCAUCGUCAUUAGGGCGUUGCAUGUGUUAGAACCACCCACCUCCACUCGCCGCCGGUUGUGUGAUCGGACCUAGCAGUCCGCCACAUGACGUUCCUCCUGCACGUGCGAAUACCGUUAGAGGUGGUGCAGUUGCGCAGCUCCAACGAAGUUGUCCACGGGAUUCAGCGGACGACUGUUUGAGAGACCGGACGAGGAGGGGGCAACUCCUGGGACGCGCUAGCACCACUAUUCGUCCACUACAUUGCGCUCUAGUGGUAACAAUCUGUGAUUCCUCUCCUUAGCAUGUUCCCGGUUAUACAGUGCAUAGGAAUUUUUUUUAUAUUCCAGCCGAUGCACCUAGCGUAGCCCAACACUAUCCCUCCGUCCCUCCCUUCCUUCCUCUCUCUCUCUCUCUCCCUCUCUCUCUCUCAAACACUUAAUACAUGCAUACUUACAUUAGUUUGAUCAUGUUCAUGUGAUUUAAGGUUAAUUGAAUUUGUGGCACUAUCAUAUGAACAAUGAUGGUGCCAAAUCCAUGGCCUAAAUAAGUUGCAUCCAAAUGUACACGGAAAAUAGUUAGAUAAAAAGUAUGAACACAUCGUAGAACAUAUUACAUCGAGAAUCGAUUAUGGUUCUAUACAUAAAAGAACAAAAAUCUCGUGGUGCAAACUAAACAUACGUUUAUAUUAAUUAAAUGUAUGCACAUUUCGUUCCUGCAAAAGAAAUUUGUCCUAUUCGGAAGAAAAGAAAACAAGUUUUGAAAAAUCAUGUAGCAAUUACUAGAAAGAUUACCAGAGUUGAGAUACACAACUAUGGACGUAGCCAUUUGAGAUUAUCCUGUCACUGUCCACGGACCCGCCCGCAGAUGUAUAUAUGUAGUGCUCCAUUUGGCAAUUGGAGUUGCAGAUGCUCUAACUUCCUUCUUUUUUGUGAACCAUGUGAUGAACAAGCUCUCUCGAAACAGGCUUUCGCCCCGCUUUAUAGAUAAAGCACAACGGCCAGAAUCCAACCCACAUGUUCGAACACAAAAAAUAAAAAAGAGAGUCAGGUGGGGCAACAACACAGUCCAGCCCAAAAUAAAGAGAAGAAACAAAAAAUUCCCACACAGGGGCAAGCUAGGCAGCAAGCAAGGGAGAGGAGAGCCGUCGGGCGGCCGCCAUCAACGCGUCCAGGUAGAGCUGAAGUCGGCCUCGAUCCCGGGUCCUAACGAGCGGAUGCCAAUGCUGCAAGAAGGCAAGGAAUUUGAAGAACGAGUCAGAAGCACGCCGCGGAAACACCUUCUCAAUCAUCAUUUUAUUGUGAGUAGUCUAGAGGGUCCACAUCAUAGCCGCGAAGACCAACCAAAACAGUCGGCGUUUAUGACCGACCUGGGUGGCCCGCACCUGUAGAAAAUCUGCAAGGUCAGAGGCCUCCCACUCUGGUCCCAGAGCCUCGCGUACAAAGCAUCAUAGUGCAUGUGCCGCAACGCAUGAGAACAGAAUGUGAGAGCCAUUCUCCGGGACAUGGCACAGGGGACAUAUGCCGUUACCCGGACCAUGGCGUUUCAGCACCUCGGUCCCUGAAGGUAAACGGUCUCGGAGAAGCUGCCAAACAAAAAUCUUGAUCUUCAAGGGCAGCGGGGCCUUCUAGAGUGGGGAUAACCACGGGAGGACCAGCAUUCUGCACAGGGCCAGGUAUGCCGAACUAACAGAGAAUUCUCCCGAGGGAGAGAGGCUCCAAGAGAUACUAUCACUGACCGCCGAGGUCGAGAGGGGAAUCACUGCCAAGAGUAACUCCCAGUCCAGGACCUCAACAGGGCCAAGGGGUCGGCAGAAUGCAACAUGCCAUCCGUCUUCCAGAGCAGCAGCAGAAACCAGGACAGCAGGGUCGGCGCAGAUAGCAAAGAGCCUCGGGAAACGGAAUCGUAAAAGCUCUCCUUCCAACCAGGGAUCUAACCAAAACUGGGUCCCAGAUCCAUCGCCCACCGAGAUCCCCAAACUCAACCUAAUCUCGUGCUUAAUGCUCUGGAUAGACUUCCAGAACUGCGAACCAUUCGCGAGAGAGCAUGCCAAGAGUGGUCUGCCUCGAAGGUAUUUGGCCUUAAUCAAUUGAAGCCACAGACCCCCAUCUCCGUGCAGAAUCCGCCAAACCCAACGGAGCAUCAGGGCCACGUUCAUGAGGCGGGACGCAGGAAUGCCUAGGCCCCCUCAGUCUUUUGGCAAGCAGAUGUCUGCCCAUUUCACCAUGUGAUACUUGGGCCUACCAUUCCCUGCCUGCCAAAAGAAUCUAGCCAGUUCCUUGUCAAAGGCGUUGUGCACACCUUCGGGCAGGAUAUACAACCCCAUCAUAUACAUGGGGAGGCUAGCGAGGUUAGAGCUAAUGAGGAUGGAUUUGCUGCCUUUAGAAGUGAACCUGCCGCACCAGGGUUCCACACGGGAUGCUACUCAUCCCACAAGCGGAUCGAACCCGCUAACCAGAAUCCUGGACUCCGCCAGGGGCAUUCCCAAGUACGAGAUAGGGAAAGAAGCCAGCUUGAAGUUAAGGUUGUCUGAAUCCUGUGAUGCUCAGCCUCAGAGUAGCCGAGGACCACCACCUCACUCUUAUCAAAGUUAAUCUUAAGUCCAGACAUUUCCUCGAAGCAGAGCAAAAGGAACUUAAGAUUGGCAAUGUCCGAGUCCGAGCCUGAGACCAUGAUCAUGGUGUCGUCUGCAUAUUGGAGGUGUGACACCCCACCCCCCGGGAUGAGGUGACCAACCACCCCCUGGAUAUGCCCGGCUAAUCUCGCCUUAUCCAGGAUGCCGGCAAGGGUGUCCACGGCGAGAUUAAACAGCAGGGGGGAGAUAGGGUCCCCUUGCUUUACCCCCCUGGAAGCCCAAAAAAAGGGGCCUAGUUCACCAUUGAUAUUGAUGGCGGUGCUACCAGAUCGAACCAGCUGCAUAAUCCAGGUGCACCACCUCUCGUCAAAUCCGCGCCGCUGCAACACUAACCUCAAGAAGGACCAACCAAGACGGUCAUACGCCUUAUGGAAGUCCAAUUUGAGAAUGACCCCCUUCAAUCCCUUGGACGCCACCUCAUGGACAAUCUCGUGAAGGGCAAGAAUUCCGUCAUGAAUCUUCCUACCCUUCAGGAAUGCGGACUGAAGGGGGUGCGCAAUCCGUUCGGCCACAGGGGACAGACGAGUGGCGCAGACUUUAGCAAAAAUACGCGCCACCAUGUUAAUCACCGUAAUAGGCCUAAAUUGCCGAAUCUCUGCAGCCCCAAGUAGUUUGGGGAUGAGGGCAAUGACUCCAUAGUUAAUCCUGCCCAUGUCCAGAGUGCCUAUAUAGAAUUCAUGGAACAUGGGCAUGAUAACUGGGUGCACGGUCUCCCAGAAUUGCUGGAAAAAACCACCGGGAGGCCGUCUGGCCCCGGGGUCGAGCACACCUUCAUAGAAGCGAUUGUCUGGCCAACUUCCUCCGAGGAAAAUGGGAGAGUGAGUUCCGCAUUCUCCACGUCGGACACCUGAUCAGCUAGCGGCCAGAAGUCCUCACAGAGAGAGGAGCCUCCCCGCAGAUCGGCCGAGAAUAACUCCUUAUAGAAGGAGUAAAUAUGGGAUGAGAUGUCUUCCGGCUUUCCAGAACAGCAUCCCCAUCCCGGAGGAAAGGGAUGACACAUUUCCGCCUUCGGCCGUUGGCGAUGGCCUGAAAGUACGCGGUGUUUGCGUCCCCCUUGAGGAGCCAGUUCUGGCCACCUCGACGUUGCCAGAACAGUUCCUCGGAGCUGAAGAUGCCCAUGAGCUCAGCGUCGAGGGAUUAUGUCUGGAUCCAGUCAUCCGGGGACAGACCUGUACCGUCCGCCAAGUCAUCUAGGGUCUUAAUCUGGCCUAGCAAGGCCCCUUUACGGGCCCGGAGAUCAGCGCCCAAGUUAGCACCCCAGCCCUUCAUGGCCUGGCGCGCCAUCUUGGCACAGUGAUGCCAAAUGUCCACCGCACAAUAGACACGCGGCGGGGAGGCGGCAGCCCAAUGCCACUGGUCGCGGACCAACUCGCGGAAACCAGGCUGAUCCAACCAAAAAGUCUCAAAGCGAAAGCGCCGUGAUCUAGGGGGGAGCCUUCCCCCGACGAGAAGAGCAGGGGCGUAUGGUCUGAGCCAAUCUGCGUGAUGGCCCUAAGCCCGCACAGGAGGAACAUCACUUCCCACUGAGGCGACACAAAGACCCGGUCUAGAACACUCCGGACGGGGUCCGCCUGCUUGUUCCACCACGUGAACCUGGCCCCUACGCGAGCUAUCUCACGUAGCGCCAAGUCUGCAAUGCAGUCAUUAAAAAGACGCAUCUGGGGUCGAUCUACAUUCUGAGAGCUUUUAUCAGAAGCCCACCUAAUAAAUUAAAAAUCACCAGCCACCACUACAGGGGUGGUGCACCUAUCCACCUUAUUCUUUAGCUCGGCGAGGAAUUCUGCGGAGCGGGCAUGGUCUGCCGGACCAUAGACAAUAAUCACCUCCCAGCUGAGGUGGGUACGUCGGUCGGUGAUGGCCAUGCUCACAAUGAACUCCCCCCGGUCCAUGUCCUCCACCGAGAACGCCUCCUCCCGAACACCAAGCAGGAUUCCCCCAGAGUGGCCCGAUGCAGGGAGCCACUGCCAGGAGAACUGGUGGCGGGAGAGCCUCUGAAGCUCGAGCAUGCUAAAGUCCUACCGAAUCGUUUCUUGCAGCCCUACUAUGUCAAUCUCUUCUUGACGCAAAUACUCAACAAGUUGCCGCCGCCGGCCAGGGAGGCCGAAGCCCCUAAUGUUCCAACAUAGGAGCUUCAUUUAACAAUCUCGCCUGGAUUUCUAGGCCCCGCAAGCGGGGCCGAACUAGCCCGCCCGUCAACCUCGAGGCGGGGGAGCGCCUUAGAUGGACGACCCCGGUGUCCCCGAGAAGAGGGGACAUCGGAGGUCGCCGGGCCAGAGGAGGGAGCUCCGGGGCCUGACACUCGCUCCUCUCCACGUGUCUCAGUGGGGUUGAGACGGGUAGGCGGCCGCCCCCUGGGCUUCCGGACAGAGGGAAGCCCACCUAUGGGCGGCACAGGACCAACUGCAACCGCUGCCGGAGGUGCGCCACCAGCCCUGGUCUCUCUAUGACCAGGACCGGCGUGCACCGGGGGAGAGGGGGAGUUGGAGCGCGCGGCGAGACAGCGCGCUUCCGCUAACACCCCCUCAAGCCUCUCUUUCGCACAGAGGGCGGAGAUAUGCUCAAGAGGGGGACCUUUCUCCCCCCGAAACACAAUACUACUGUUCGCAGCCACAACAGCCAAAAGGGGCACCAAAUCGCUAGAGAGAACAGAAAACCAAGAACCAGAGCCAGAAGGGGGAGGAGAGGAGGCGUACCUGGGAACAGAUCGCGGGCCGCAGCACGCCGGGCCGCCAGCUCAGGCAUCGUCGGGACGCGGCCGUCCUGAAGGGUCCGGGACUGGCUGAUCCGAGCGCUCUGACGUGCCGACACGAUGGGGGAAGUGCCCUCCCGAGGCCGAGAGCGGGGCACAGGAGGGUACUCGGGCGCCCAACCAGGGUUGACGACCACCGGAGGGCGCGAAUCCGGGGACCCCAAGGUUGGGGAAGGGGGGAACUCGGAGAGCACGAGUAGCAAACCACCCCUGGCGAGCGCGGGGACGAAGCAGGGCAGACCUCCAUACCCACACUCACCUCCUCCUCAGCAGCGACCACCGGGAUAGGGGAAGCAGGGAGAGUGAUCUCCAUGCCUACCACCACCACCGGCGCCAAAGUACCCACCGUGGAGCCUCCUGCGAGCCCCGACUGGCCAACACCCGAGGGGGCGGGGGUGCGCCGACCGCCAGAUGGCUCGGGCGGAGCCCCGACCGUAUCAUCGUCCCCCUCAGAAGAAGGCCCCUCCUCCGACGAGCCCCCCUCCUUGUCAAGACCCCCGUCGGCAGGCUCCAGCCCAGGCGGGACCGGAUCUAGCUGAGCCGCUGAAGCCGGGGACUCGAGCUCGAAGGUCAGACGCCUGCCCUUGGACCCAAAGUAGAAGACCAAAGACAACCCGUCAAUCUCAGCAGGAGCCGGGCAGAGAAUCUCAAUGCGGGCAGGGCCAUCAUCCUCGAAAGAUGCCAGGUCGGCGGUGAUCAGUUUGCCCAUGGGUUUAGAGAUGGCUUUCAGAAUAUGACUGAGCUUGCCACCCCGCGGAGCCGCACUGCCCCCCCUUGGGAGGCCAUAGACGAGGACCCAAACCUUCUCCAAGGGAGGGACGGGGUCAGGCUCUGACAUGGCCGCCUGGACGCUGAUCGGGAGCUGGUUGAGGGGACACCGGAUAGGACCAUGCGAGCAGACCCGGAGUAGCUCGGCCGAGGGGAAGGGGACCGAGAAGACCAGGGGAGCCGUCUCAGUCACCUCCCAUGCGAACUCAGAGCCGCGAAAGUCGCCAAUGUAGGCCGCAAGCUCAUCCUGGAUGAGGUCAGACGAGAUCACCAGGCCAUCCGGGAUAGGCUGCUCGGGCUCCAAGGUGACCGUCGCUAGGUGAGGACGAGCAGCUACCUCCUCAAUCUCCGCAUCCACGAAGUAGAAGCUUCCCCGCUCAGUGCCAUACCCAAGAUAGGCAAGAAUCGUGGGGCACCGUGGGGGAGCCUCACACUCCGAGCGGUAGUGCCCGGUGCACCCGCAGUUGAUGCACAUCGUGUCCUCGCGGGAGCGCUGGCGGGUAGCACGAGCAGGGGGUCUAGAGCCUCAUGCUCAGGAGCCCCCUGAGCUCCUGGCGACGUCAGGCCGCCAGCACCGCCAACAGCCUUCUUCUUCUUCGACUUCAUCUUCUUCUUAACCGGGGUCGGGCGGGAAGCGGAGCAGCAGGCAGGGCAUCUGGGGACACGUGCCUAGAAGGCCCGUCGUCCCGGCACCAGUCCGCACCCGUCGCCCGAGAGGAGCGCCAGUCAGCCCGACGUCCAUCAUCACCGCGCCGCAUUGGCGGCCCGCCCCACCGCUCCCCCGGGCGGUGGUCCUGGCGAUCACGGGGCGGCCCGCCCCACCGCUCCCCAGGAAGGCGCCGCGGGGCGGUGAGCGAGGUCCCGAGCCGGGGGGUAGCGGGGCGCUGGCUCCUCACACGGCUGAGAUGCCGGAGUGGGGCGAGCAACCAACUCUGCACACAGAGUCGCUUCCCGGUCCAGGUCGGCCGCGCGGGCGGCCUCCAGGCGGCGACGGUCCCCCGGCGAACCCGGCAACGGCAGGCGGGGAUCCCUCUCCGGAUCACGAGGGGGAGGCGGACGGCGAAGGGAGGUCCCGGAGUAGUACUCCGGGGACUUCCCCGGCCGGGCAGACCCACCGCGCCCGGAACGGGACGAGGCAGCACCCCCUUCCAUGGCACGGUCACGGGCGGCGGGCAGCGCCUUCAACACCGCGCGAGCCUGGUCACGAGAGGUUGGCGUAGGGAGGAGCCCCUGCCCAGCCGGGAGAGGCCGCUUCGGUCGGGCCUGGCCGUUCCCGGCGUGGCGUGUCAUGAGCACGUCCCGGUAGGAGCGCCGUGGGGAGGGGAUGGGGAGCAGGUCCGGGCGCCGGGCAGCAGACGAGGGCGCGUCGCCGGCAGUGCAGGCGAGGACGGACGAGGUGGAGGGAGCUCUAUGGCUGACGGGACGGGGCGAGCGGGGCCUGGGGAACGGCCGGCGGGACGGGGCGAGCAGGGCCUGGGGAACGGCGGGGACGUCCGCGCCCGACGGGAGAGAGCGAGAGGAAAGGGAGCGGGAGCCCGACCGGAGAGAGCGAGAGAAACGGGAGCGGGACGGGGCGAGGCUGCGAGGUGGCGGUGGCGCACGCUCGGCAGGGUAAACCCUAUCCCCGAGCCGGUCCUCCCGACGCAGGCCUGGGCCGGGACGCGAGCAUGGGGGAGGCCCAGGUGGGCAUCGGCCCACUGCCGGUUAACCUUCUCCAGGACUCGGGAGACGCGGCGGGAGGCCCAGGCCAUCUCGCUAGCUGAGAUGGGCCCAGGCCCCGUUCGCAGCGGCCCAUGGGGAGAGCCGGCCCAUCCGUCCGCCAGCCGGCCAGGGGAGUUAGGGCAUGGGGGAGGGGACUGACGAGGCACUCGGGCACCUCCCGCUGCCGCCGGCACCGCCGCCGCCGCCACAGGAGGCAGGGCACCAGCGCCUGGUCGGGGCUCGCGGGGGCCCUCUCCGGCGACCGCCAUGGGGGACAACCCAGGCAGCAAACCGGCUCGGGCCAAGGAGGGGAGAGGGGGAACCACAGGGGGACAGUGCACCGGCGACCGCCGCCCGACCUCCUUCCCCGGCCGCCGGCGGGCAGGGCGCGCCGCAGCCAGGAACGAGCCGAGCAGCGGCGGUGCCAGGGACACCGGCAGCUCCAACCGGUCAUCACCAUCCGAAGAGGCCUCCAUGUCAUCGGGGUCGGGAUCGUCCGUCCAGUCCGCCCAACGUCGCGGCGACCGUUGGAAGCAGAGGGAGGGCGCCCCCGGCGGGGGAAGCGGGGGCAUCGCGCUCACGCAGCACGCCGGCCGACCGCCGUCAGCGGGCACCGCGCAGCUUCAGGUCUCGGCCCGCCGGAGAGGAGCCGCCCAUCGCUUCUUCUCUUCAGGAAUCUAGUCGCCGGCCCACAAGUGGGGUGAUGAACAAGCUAAUGCGAUUUAAAGUAAUCAUACCUCGUCCUAAGAAAUUAAAAGUGAAUUCAUACUGUGCAGCUAGAAAAAGAAUCAUAAAAGUAUACAAGCGCAUGUGAAAAGAAAAAGAUGAACAACUUGCCACUUCAUAUAGGUGAUCUAAUUAACUAAUUUAGGGUUCGAAUAACUUUGUUUCCCCACAAUCAUGACAAAGUGAACCUUUUGUUGAAAGCCGGAAUUCUGCAAUAAAGCUGCAAUGGUAGAUCUAUUUUUAUCAGGGAAUCUACCAUGCUGAGCUGCUGCACACAAGGCGUUCUCACUCACGAGUCGCAAAAAAGAGUUGGUGAGUUAUUAAAAAAGAAGACAAAGAGGACGAGUGAGUUGCACCAAAAUUAAAUACUUCCUUCAUUUCAAAAUAAAUGUCUCAAUUUUAUACUACCUCUAGUAUAAGAGCAUGGUUAAUAGUAUAGUCAACUGCUGGCUAUAAGCUAUCUUAUAGCCUAUCUUAUAGCUAGCUUGUACAAUAGUUAGCUAUAAAAGAGUACUACUUUUAUUCUAUAUGGCCCACCUUUCAUUUUCACAAAGCACCUACGAGCACGUGCUAGAGCUGGCUCUUUACGAAGAGCCCGCUUCCCUUCUCACUCCUAUUCUCUCUCAUCCAACUCAGCAAAAAUACAGUAUUUUAAUCCUUACAGCCUGCUGACUGUACCUUAUUGUACUUGCUCUAAAGUUGUACUCCCUCCGUUCCAAAAUAUAAGACCUUUUAGAGAUUUAUUAGAAGACUACAUACGAAGCAAAAUGAGUGAAUCUAUACUCUAAAAUAUGUCUAUGUACAUCCGUAUGUAGUUCAUAGUGCAAUCUUUAAAAUGUCUUAUAUUUAGGAACGGAGGGAGUAUUAAGUUUGAGGCGGUUAUAUUGAGACGGAGAGAGUACUAGAUAUACGUAAUCUGAAAUAGUGGAGUACCAAAAUUAUAGGCCUCUAUGAUUAGGAGGAUUUUCAUAAAACAUUUGGAAAGUUGUGAUACUUGAGAAUUUUUCCUUUAUCGCUUAUCUGAUUCGUAGAUUGACUCCUAUAGGAUUUUCUCCUAUGGAUUCCCUUUGACUGCACAUUUCAUGAAAAAAAACAUUAGUUUGCCAUGAUAAUUUUUCACCAGGAUGCACAAAAAAUGAACUAGUUCUGAAAGGUUUAUUGGCUUCAUUUGGAUUUACUUAGAAUCAGCUCAUAUUAGCAAUAAUUAAAGAUGGCCGAACGAUGGCGCCGUCUCCCUCCCGACCCGGGGCCGCAUGCAGCCCCUCUCCCUCUGCCCCCCUCCUCCUGUCGGUGCCCUCGGAUCUGGUCCGGGUGGUGUUGGCGGUGGCGGGAUCUCCAUUACCUGUGCGCGGACGUCCUUCCCGAGGCAGGGGAUCGACGGUGGUGCGGCUCGGCCUGCUGUGGUCCGACGACCUAGAGGUGGUGGCCGGCAGCCGACGUGGUGGUGGCGCUGCUCCUUGGCGGCGGGGUGGCCUAGCGGCACGGGGUGGCCGGCUGCACGACCCCGGGCCAGAUCAGGGCCCAUAAGGCCUCAUCUAGGUCCUAGGGGACUGGCUCUGGCAUGGACUUGCUGCCUCCUGUACAGGGAUGAGGAGGGGCGGGUUGAAAGGGGGGCCGCGAUGCCGACGGUGUGCUUUCUGCAGCGCGAUGGCAGGAGCUUUAUGGGUAUUUGUGGGGCCAUGAGCCUGGUUUGCUCCUGCCGAUGUGUCCGGUCGGUUACUGUCGUUGACGAUGGAAGUCGGACCCUCCCGCAGGCCGCCGGUGUUGCUUCCCCUAGUCCCGACUCUUCUUCUUCGAUGUGCAGGCCUCACUUCUCGGUGUCCUGGUGAGACAGUGUGGGUCGCUUCAAGAUUGUGCUUGCGCAGGGCGGUGGGUGGUAUGGUGGAGUCCUCCGGAACGCCCGUGGUGAUGCGUGGGGAUCGGGACGUACAAAUCCUUGUCGGCCUGUUCGACACCGACACGGUGACGCCUGAGGGUGUCGACGGACCUUCCUGGAGGGUGUCGGGUGCUACCCUUUCUUUGUCCUCGUUGUGUAUCGGGGGAAACCCUUGGCAGCAGCGCAGUCAUCGUCGUGUCCCUUCUUGGAGGUGUUGAUUGGUAUCGGCGCUUCGAAGGCUAGGAUCUUGGUGGAAGAUCUUCGAUGGGCGCAACGAUCGCGGGGCCUCUUCAUUUUUGUCGAUCCAUCAUUGUUGGCAUCUAUUCCUUUUGCAUUUUCUUUUUCCCUUCCUUUUGGACGUGAUUGUGAUGUCUCCGUCCCAGCACUUAUUGAUGGAUAUAUCGGGCAUUUGCUAUAUUAAUAUAGCGAGGCGAACGCGUGCUUCGAAGAAAGAUGGACGAACUUACCAACCAUAUUACUUGUGCUUAUUUAUUUUCUUCUGUUACAACGCACAAACAUAUUUGCUAUUUGAACUAAAUCACAUUGCCAAUUGCUCGUCUAUCAUGUCAAAUCAGAACCACGCAUCUAACCCUCCCAAGAUGUAGAUCGAUCGGUUUUACUCGGCAUUCAUUAUGGAUCGGAGGGAGUACUCCUAGAUCAUAUUCAAAAUUGCUCCACGCCACAAAUAAAACUGCACGGUACAUAUGGUAAAUCUGGGAAAGUGAUUUGCGUGGUAUGUGUGCCAUAAUCAACUGAAUUAUUGGACUAACCGCAUCAAGAUCGGAUCACAUCGAUCCUAUCCCCGUCGACGAGACUGUCCUCGAAUCAAAAUAUUUCUCCAAUGGACGCUCGUGUCCCACGCUCUGAAAGCGACGCCUUUUGUUUUGUCAGUUAAUUUUCACGUCAAGCUCACACCCACGCACGCACCGUGUAGGAUCCACGGCUCGACGCACCUCCCCUUCCCUCCCCUUCUCCCUAUUUAACGAGCUAGCCACCCCCACGCUUUUUGCACCUCAGCAAGCACCAACACACACACACACACAAGAAAUGGCGAUGGCUAGGACGACGACGCUCCUCCUCGUCGCCGCAGCUCUCCUCGCGGCCUCAUGCAGCGCAUGGGAGGUCAACAUCCGCAUGCCGACGUCGGCGGCGGACGUGGACGAGGCGGUGGUGGCGCCGCUGAUCCACGCGCUGCGGCCGCUGCUGGGCUCCGGCAAGCACGCCGGAGUGGCGUGCGACAGCUGGGUGCUGGGGGUGGAGGCGCACAACGUGCGGGACUGGAAGACGGUGCCCGCGAGCUGCGAGGGCUACGUCGGGCACUACAUGCUCGGCAGCCAUUUCCGCCGCGACUCCAAGGUCGUCAUCGACCAGGCCCUCGCCUACGUCGACUCCCUCAAGCUCGCCGGCAACGGCAAGGAGGUCUGGGUCUUCGACAUCGACGAGACCACCCUCUCCAACCUCCCCUACUACGCCAAGCACGGCUUCGGGUACGUACUUACACUCUUGUAUACAUUACAUAGACACUACUGAUUCUACGUGUAGUGCAUGCAUUAGACUUGCUAUUUACUGCAGGUACAUCCGACCGAGCAGGGACUUGCACUCAUCUUUUCACUAAGAUGAAGUGUAAAUAAUCUGACUAGAUAUAUAUUGUAAAAAAUCAACUCACUAGCUAGCUAAAAAAUACCAGCGAGAUCUGUAAUGAAUGAAAAUUGGAAAGCACAUAAGGAUAGAAAUAUUGGAAAUAAAAAGGAAUAUAAUCACUAAGUAGAAAAGUACUUUAAUCACAAGUGUUGGACACUUGGACAUCAUCAUUGCCAGUAGGACUCGGGCCAUAUGUCCCUAGUAUGAAUGGCCAACAAAACAAGAAGGAAACAUACUAUAUUUUGAGAUAGAGAUGUGAUGUUGAUGGGCAUGCGAAUGUGGUGGCCGGGUAGGACCGUAUAUGUUGUCCACUUGGCUACUUUAUGGAAAUGUUCUAAUUAUGUUAUGCUAGUCAACUCAUACUUUCUAAUUAUGUCAUACUUUUGUACACAUACACACUAUUGUAGUGCAUUAUACUCCCUCUCUAUCUAAAUACUUAGAGUUCGAAAGAACUAGGUGCAUUUCAGCAGGGGCUUGCACUGAUCUAUUCGUUCAGAUAAAAUAAAUAUCUUACUAGACCUCGUUCAAAUGAACUCACUAGCUAGAAAGCACUAGUAUCAUAAGAUUUCUAAUGAAUGAAAGUGGGAAAACAAAUGAGACUAGAAGUGGAAACAAGGAAUAUACUCACUAGCUAGAAAAGUAUUAAUUGGACGUGUUGGACACACUUAGGCAGCAUCAUUGCUGGUUACCUCAAAUCAGUCACAGAGACGGCCAUCAGGACCAUAAAUAUGUCCCGCCUAUGAAUGGUCAACAAAACAAGAAGGAAACAUAGUACUAUAGUUUGAGAAUAUGGUGGCCGGGGUAGGACCGUAUAUGUUCUCCACUUGGCUACUUUAUGGAAACGUUUAUUUCCAGCUGUCCUUAUCAGCCGAUACGUUCUAAUUAUGUUAUGCUAAUCGAUUGAUAUUUUCUGAUUAUGUUAUGCUAAACUUAGUUCAGAUGGAUAGUACUCCGAUACGUUUUCAUUAUUUUAUGCUAAUCUGAGUUUAGAUGGAUAUAAUUACUUAUUUUAGAAGAUGUGAGAGGUCAGAACAUCUUGUGCAUAGUUAGUAGUUACAUGCUACUCCCUCCGUUCCUAAAUACAAAUCUUUUAAAAGAUUUCACUAGUGGUCUACAUAUGAAGCAAAAUGAAUGAAUUUAUACUAUAAAAUAUGUUUAUAUACAUUCAUAUGUAUUACUCUAACCUCUAAAAAGAUUUAUAUUUAAGAAUGGAUGGAGUACAACUCUAUUCCUCUUUUCUCAAAUAGUUGAACACUAUUCCUCUUAGUUAAGAAGAUUCUCUUGAACCAAGAUGGAAACUAACUUGAAAUGUAGUAGAAGUCUAGGUGAUAUCUAGCCAACAUGAUGAUACCAGUUUAGUUCAAAACAUGAUUAACUAGCUCCGGAUAGCUUGCUUGUGUAUAUUUUGAAUGUGAUGAGGGAGCUAGUUCGUUGUGAUUUAAAAUAAACUGUACCUUGCCGUAAGAACUUUAAAGUGGAUCUACACUGGGCGGCUGGAAAAAGAUACAUAAAAGUAUAUAUAUGCGCAUCAAGGAAAAAAGAAAGAUCAAAAGCUUAUAACAGCAUGUCUAACUAAUCGAGCGGUUCAAAUAACUUUGUUUCAUCACAAUCAUGACAAAAUUAACCUUUUUUGUUGAAAGUCGGAACUCUGCAAUAAGGUUGCAAUGGUAGACCUAUUUUACCAAAGGAAUCAACAAAGCUGAGCUGCUGCGUACAAAGCUGUGCACGAUGAGAUUAAAUACUACAACUGCGUUUUCGGUCCAACAAAACAGUAGCGUGAUGAUGCCGGAGUGAACCUCGCUAUGUCACAUUCAUUGAUUUACUCCACUUGACCAACUUAAUUUACGACGUCCACAACUACGUACUGCUCAUGCACGUGCGUUACGUACAGAUACAGAGCAUCAUUGCGUUUACGUAUUGCCCAUCCCCUUGGCCAUUUGGCCACUUGGGCCAUAAUCUAGGUUGCCUAUGUUCCUUGGAUAUGCAUAAUUACUACUACUUCUUAGUAGCUGAUAUGAUUGAAUCUGCCAUUAAUCUAUCCUCGUAUACAUGUGCGUGCAGGGCUACACCGUUCAACGCGACCAGCUUCAACGCAUACGUGCUACAGGGGAGCGCGCCAGCCCUGCCGGAGACGAAGCGGCUGUACAACAAGCUGCGCUCGAUCGGCGUCAAGCCGGUGUUCCUCACCGGCCGGACUGAGGACCAGAGGGCCAUCACCGUCACCAACCUCCGCCGCCAGGGGAUCUCUGGGUGGAUGAACCUCUUGCUGAAGCAACCCGGGUUCAAGGGCUCUGCGGUGACCUACAAGUCCGGCGAGAGGCAGAAGCUGCAGGACGCCGGGUAUGUCAUCGUCGGUAACAUCGGCGACCAGUGGAGCGACAUCCUCGGCGCGCCAGAGGGUGCCCGCACCUUCAAGCUGCCCGACCCCAUGUACUACAUCGGCUAGGCCGCCUCUGGCUCGGCCGGGCAUGCUGCCAUUGAUUUCUCGAAUAAGCUCCAUGCUCUUAGUUAUAUGCAUGUUUCGUCAGAUAAUCAAUCCCCAAUUGUUGCUUGGUUCAUUUCCAUUGUUGAGAGCUUGAGAUCAAUUGCUACUAUGAAUUAGACGUGUAAGUGGAGAUGUUGCAUGCUGCUUAAUCAAUGGAUCUUUGUUAUGUUGUUUUUCUUUUUGCUCUAUUACAAGGAAUCCAUGGGCAUUAUUACUAUUUGAUAUCUUGUUCUUAAGUCUUAACUUGGAACUUAUAUUGCUGGUGGUAGAUUUUUCUGUACUAAAUUCUGCAUAUGGUGUAUUAAAUAUCAGGGACACAUAAUAUUGUCACACAUAUGGAAUCACUACUGCUAAAAUGACCAGUUCCUGAACCCAUCUGCUAUUGGGCCCAUUUUGGCCCGUCGGAGGAAGGGAUCAUCGUCGGUGGACAGGCAAAGAAGUGCUCGCAUAGACUCCUUCAAAAAAUGUGCCCUCAUAGACGACGGGUAUUUUCCACUGAUGUUGCGCAACUGGUGAUUGCAAUGUAGUUUGUGUCUUGCAUGUUGUAUGCAUAUGUAAUGAAUGUAACAUCUAAUAGUUAAUUAUGCAAGACAAAUAAAGCCCACCCUUUUCAGUAAGUUUAGAGCUAGAUUUGAGUUUGUCUUGGUCUCAUUUUUCUAAACAUACAAUCCUGGAGACAACUCGGUGAAGAAAUGAUGGUCCAAAUAGGUGUCUAACACGAAUCGUCAUCAAAGAAACCCUAUGGGAACCCACACUAUUCUAGUUACUUGGAUGAUUUGUAAUGAAAGAAAUAUAUGUGUCUUCCAAGUUAUUUUGACCAUGCCAAACAACAUCCCUGCUAAGAUAAAAAACGAUGUGGAGACUUGGAUAAAGGCCGGGCGAAGGAUCUGGGAAACAUUAUGCCAGGAGAGUAGUUCCGUUCUAUUAAUUUAUCCUUGGAUGACGUUUCGCGGAGAGAGGGGAGAGGGCGACCUGGGCGAUCUGGGAGCGUCGGGGGCCGCCGUGGGCAUCGUCGGAGAGGGGGAACAUCGGUACUCCUCCUCCGAUCUCGCAUCCCAGGCGCGGCGCCGGAGCCCGAUCUCGGCGGUGGAGGGACCUACUGUCCGUGUCCGAUGGAGAGUUGCGUACUCAGAGGCUGGUUAUUCGGAUCUGCGUGAGGGGCAGAUUGUUUUUCAUUCGGUUUCUCGUUGGAUGACACUACGGGAUGACGACGACGACAUCCUCGCCGGCUGCCAUCUCCAAGAGGAAGAUCUCAUCUGCGAAGGUGCGCAUUUCAUGGUGGAUAUCUUUUCUGUUACUUGUAUUUCUCCUUUCCUGCAGGUGAAUUCACAAGAACGGAUGCAGCCUGAUUUGGUGGACAUAUCUGACGAUGAUAAGAUCGCCUCACCAAGACUUCUCCCUCGAGUUGGGGGGAGGUUUUGGGUACUGGCUAAAGAUGAAGACGACGAGAACCACGACAUUGCCGUAGCACAGGAGGUCUCUGCUCCUUUCUGCGACCAGGUUUUCCAUCCGGCCACGAGGGAUUUUAUUCAUGCAUUGCCUGAUUCGAAGGUCGUUAAGGUAGUUCAACGCAAGGAGCGAUUGGCGAUUAAACCUUGGAGCGGUCCUCUGCCUAAGGUUCAUCUCGAACCAUUGCGGAUCUCGGACAUCAUACCUUGAGAGGCUUGGACUACUGUUUUGCCUAAGAGGAAGAACAAGGGUAAGAGCCGUAAAUUGCAGACGUCAGUCCCUGACAAGGUGCUGUCGUCCCGUGAUUCUCGCGAAUUACGUUUGAACGAGCCGAUGGCUGUUGUCGGGCCGUUGGGACCGGCGCUCGAGUUGGGCUUAAAAGAAACUGGGUAUAUGGCCCAGAUAGACUCCAAUCUAGCAAAACCUGCAAGUCCUACACCUACGGCUGCCCAGAUUUGCCUUGACGAGAAUCAUCAGGACUUGGUUUCUACGUCAAGUUUGCAUAUACCGAGUUCGGCUCUGCCUAGGGUUCCACGACGGCGUUUGCCUGGCUUCCCUUCGCUCGGGCCGGGUCGUGCAGUACGGGUUCCAGCGCUGCGGUGCAUGGCGGGGCGGGGAAACAAGCAGGCGCUGCCUCCCCCUCGACCACCGGCGGUUUCCCAGGCUGUGGGGCGGACUAGGCAGCAGCCCGUGAUGCCGCCAGGGCGCCAGACGGGCCAGGCUUCGGCUGCACCGGUUCCCGCUGCUGGUCAGGGUUUGCCCAACGCGGCUCGGGCGGAUACUAACAGGAUGCAGCCGAGAGGUCGAUGGGGGGAUGAUGGUGUUAAUGCAUAUGGUGAUGGACAGCACCGUGGAUCCUCUUCGUCUGGAGGAGGACGUGGCUAUGCCUGGCAGAGCAAUGGCAGCGCUGCUAAUGGGUUCGCCGGUCCUCCGGGACAGUUUGUGCCCCGGGUCUCGGGUCCUACUCACCCUAGGGAGGUGGAUAUAAGCAACAUUGGGGAGGGAGAGGUGGUGGCAGGAGAUUGAAGCCGCCCACGCCUCCAGUAGAGGUAGAUGCUGCCAAGACAACGGCGGGAGUACCUUCCAAUGCUCCUAAGGGGAAUACACUGCUGCCACCUGUUUCCGAGGAGGAUCCUUCCUUGGCUGACAAGGGAGUAUCGCUUGCGAAGGCAGAGGGGGGGGGAUAGGCCCUCCAAGUGGGCACGCAAAAAAGAAAAGAUGACAUGCUACCGUUGCAGUGAGACGGGUCAUUUUGUUUCCGAAUGCAGCGCGGAUCUGUGUGACUUUUGCUUAAAGCCUAAGCAUGGCUCAGCUAAGUGCCCCCUUACUGUUGGUCCUAUACAUGUCGUCACUUUAUAUGGGGUUUGCUGCCAAGAGUUGAUGUUCUUUGAAUCUCCCUCUGCUUCAACGUCGUUGCAUGUGCCAGACGCGGCCUAUACGGGGACGGUUACGGUGGCUCGUGGUAAUAUGUCAGCUGAGCAGGUGGUGCAACAGUUGAGGGAUCUUGUUUCAUCAAUGUUUCGGUGGGAACUGGUCCUUAUAGCAGAUAAUGUGUUCAAGGUUGUGUUCCCUACCAAGGAGGACCUAGCUAGACUGCUCAAGUUUGGUAUGUGUCGGGUUCCUAGUACUAGUUGUGUGCUAGAGUUCGAUGCUUGGAAGAAUGAGGAGCCAUAAGGUGUGCCACUUCCUCAGAUUUGGGUUCGUUUUUCAGGGGCCCCGUCAAAGGCUCUAAAUGACUUUCUGGUGACUUGGAGUUUGGGAUCUUUGAUAGGUAAGACUGAGAGGGUGGAUAUGCAAUAUACUCGGGCUAAAGGUGUUGCCAGGAUGAGGGUUAGUGUAAUUGAUAUUGCGCUAGUACCGGAUGAAGUUAUAUGGACUUAUGAUGGAAUGCGGUACACCUUGCAACUCGAGAUCGAGAGUCCGGAUAUGUUCGAGGAGGAUGGGACAGACAAAGAUACCGAUAUGGCUGACGGAGAUGAUGCUUCGGGUUCUAGGGAAUCUGAUAAGAAGGAUCAACAGCCAGUUAUUACAAAGAUGGUGGAUCAACCUACCUCAGGUUCUGCUACAGGGGCUGCUCAACCAGUGUCUCUUCCCUCGACGCAGCUUAGGUUCGGUUCCUUUGAACCAGCCUCGGCGCCAGAGAUUCGAGGGAGGGCUUCAGAGAAGUAUGAGCGGGAUCUGGUUCAUCUUAAGCCGCAAGGAAAGCAAGCAAAGUCAGGGUCAUUCAGUAUUAAAAAUCCUAAGGAAGCUUUGACCGUAGUUUCUCUUGGGGAAUAUUUUGUUGUCGCUAGGAAUGCUGAUACGGGCCGGUCUCAGCAACGUGAUGCAGUGCAGCCAGCAAGGCAUAUGUUGUCCGGGUUGGGUACUGUGCCGAGGGGUGCGCCGCCUGGGUCGCCUAGGCAGGGUUCGCUGCUGCUGUAGAGUCCAUCGCCAGCCACCCAGGGGGUUGCUGUUUCUCGGCCAGCCACCCCUGGGGCUGCUACCUUUUUGCCAGCCACACCGAGGGCAAUUACAGCGACUCCUCCUCCUGGCCUACUUCCGUCGUUGGAUGCUGCUGCGAGAUCCACCCCUGCUGCUGGUUUCAUGUCAGCCGAGAGAUCAACCCCUGUUGCUGCGGUUCCUAUCGCUACUAUGGCUGCAACCGGGGCAUCAUCUUUGCGGGUGUCAGGGCUGGAGGGUACUGGUCAGGGGCACCAUGGCGAGGUCGUUGCACCGCCGUCUGUUGAGCAGGUCAUAGCAUACGGAGGUAUUCAAAGUCCGCUGACUUCGGACAGGAGGUCCAGUCGGCGAAUUCAGAAUCAACCUGAUGCGGAUUAUUUACAGAUGGGACGUGCUAUGCGUGCGGCUAAAAUGAGAGAUGUCGAAACUGAGACAGGUAUGUCUUUCAGCAUUAACGAUUCUAUUCUUCAUUUUUCUCCUCAAGAUAUUCUAGAUAAGGCAGGUUCUAUUGGGGUUACAUUGGGGAACAAUGGCCGAGAAAUUUCGAAAUCUAUUAAUGAUCUAUUAGACUUAGAGGUCGAUAGAGCGUUAGACUUAGUACGAAAUUUAGCGGCAGUUAAACCAAUGCAAGAGUCUGAAGUUAACGAUCUAGGGGGACUGAAUUCUCUUUGUGAUAGUCUGGCCCCGUCAGUGGAUAUAGAGGAUGGUGCGGGCGAGGUUUUAGUUGGUCAAGGGAUGUGUGCCCAAUCUCAUAAGGCUGAGCCUCAAUUCUCUGGUUAUAUGGACCAGGAGUUGCUGGAAAAGCCGAAGCGUCCAUGGAGACGGAAAGUGUAUCCGGUCUCUGCGAUACGUAGAAGUGCUAGAUUUAAGAUUGCCAAAAAAAAUUAUGAUGAUUAAUGAGAGGAAUUUUUUGGAAUAGCAGAGGUCUUUGAGACUUGGCUAAAAGAAGAUUUCUAGCAGAGGCUACUUUAGAGCAUCACCUUGAUUUUAUCGCAGUGAUGGAGACAGGGAGGGAUAACUUUACGUCUCAUUUUUUAAGUUCUCUAUCAGCUGGGGUGGAUUUUGACUGGCACUGUCUCCCUCCAAGAGGAAGGUCCGGUGGGAUCUUACUUGGGGUCCGUUGUGACACUUUUCAAGUGCGGGAGGUGGUGUUUGGGGAGUUUGCAGUCAAAUUCAAGAUUAGAUCUAAGGAUGACGGGUUCCAAUGGGCUCUCGUUGCCGUCUAUGGCGUAGCACAGCCAGAUCUAAAGCCUGAUUUCCUAGCAGAUCUGGUCAGGAUUUGUGAUGACAAACUACCAUUGCUGGUAGGUGGAGAUUUUAAUAUUAUUAGGCGGGCUGAUGAAAAAAGUAGUGUUAAUUUUGAUGGAAGAUGGCCUUUCAUGUUUAACACAAUUAUUGAGAGCUUAGAUAUGAGGGAGACCGCUCUAUCAGGUAGGAAAUAUACCUGGGUGAAUGCUCUACAGAAUCAGACAUUUGAAAAGUUGGAUCGUGUCUUAACUAGUGUAGAGUGGGAGCAGAAGUUCCCUCUAGUAACUGUUAGAGAACUUCAACGCGCAAUCUCGGAUCAUACUCCUCUGUUGCUGGAUUCCGGUGAGGCUAGCCAUAUAGGAAACAAACAUGGAUUCUCUUUUGAAUCAAGUUGGUUCACAAGGGAGGGGUUCAUGGAUAUGGUCGAGAGGGAAUGGAAUACAGAGGUCAGGGGCGAAACCUCUAUAGAAAGAUGGCAGUAUAAGAUUAGACAUCUUAGACAGUAUUUGAGGGGCUGGUCUAAGAAUGUGUGUGGAAUAUAUAAAGAAGAGCAAGAUAAGCUCCUCAAACUUAUAGACAAUCUAGAUCGGAAGGCUGAGAGUUGUCUUCUGGAUGCUAACGAAAGGGAUCUCAAAUUCGAGGCCGGACAGCGCUUGCGUAUUCUCCUAAGAGAGGAGGAAAUGAAAUGGGCGCUUGAGCCAAAGUGAAGGCCAUAGUUCUUGGAGACAAUAACACUAAAUUUUUCCACUUGAUUGCAAAUGGCAAGCAUAGGAAAAAGAAAAUAGUGCAGCUUGAGCAAGAUGAGGGUACAAUACUAGGUCAUGAGAAUCUAAAAUUGUACAUCUCUAACUACUACAAACAUUUAUUUGGUGCUCCUGAGCAUAGCUUUGUGACUAUGGAUGAGCAAAAAGUGGCGGAUAUUCCUCAAGUUGGAGAGGCUGACAAUGAGAUUUUAUCCGCUCCUUUCUCAGAGAAAGAGGUGUUUGACGCGAUAGGGAAUAUGAAGAAUGGAAAAGCUCCCGGUCCAGAUGGGUUUCCGGCGGAGUUUUACAAGCACUGUUGGCAUAUUAUUAAGAAUGAUCUUAUGUCAAUGUUUGCUGAUCUUUUUAGUGGUCACCUUCAACUCUUCCAUUUGAAUUUUGGUACUAUUACACUCUUACCAAAGAAGGAAGGGGCCACGCGGAUUGAACAGUUUCGUCCGAUCUGUUUGUUGAAUGUUAGCUUCAAGAUUUUCACAAAGGUGGGAACAGAUAGGUUGACUAAGAUGGCCCAUUCGGUGGUACAAUCUACGCAAACAGCUUUUAUGCCAGGACGGAAUAUCCUUGAAGGAGUCGUUGUCUUGCAUGAAACUCUUCAUGAAAUGCACUCGAAGAAACUAGAUGGGGUUAUCUUUAAAGUGGAUUUCGAAAAAGCUUACGAUAAAGUCAAAUGGUCGUUUCUCCAGCAAACCCUACGUAUGAAGGGUUUCGAUGAGCUGUGGCGUAGGCACGUCGAUUGUUUUAUAAAGAAGGGAAGUGUGGGUGUCAAAGUGAAUGAUGAUGUGGGUCAUUUUUUCCAGACACUAAAGGGUCUCCGCCAAGGAGAUCCAAUGUCUCCCAUUUUAUUUAACAUUGUUGCUGAUAUGUUGGCACUGCUGAUUAAGCGGGCCAAUGAGAAGGACCUUGUAAGGGGCUUGAUCCCUCAUCUUGUUGAGGGGGGGAGUCUCCAUUUUACAAUAUGUGGAUGACACGAUUCUUUUUUUGGAGCAUGAUCUCAGUAAAGCCAGGAACCUCAAACUUAUCCUAUGCUUAUUUGAACAGCUAUUAGGGCUGAAGAUAAAUUUUCAUAAAAGUGAAUUGUUUUGCUUUGGAAAGGCCAAGGAUGAGCAGCUCACGUAUAAUCAAUUGUUUGGUUGUGCUAGCGGGAGUUUACCUUUUACUUAUUUAGGGAUCCCAAUUCAUCACAGAAAAUUAUCAAAUAAGGAUUGGAAAUGUAUCGAGGACCGUUUCGAAAAAAGUUGAGCUGUUGGAAGGGCGAGCUCUUAUCGUAUGGAGGAAGGUUGAUACUGGUUAAUUCAGUAUUAACAAGUAUGCCUAUGUUUCUCCUAUCCUUCUUUGAAGUACCUGUUGGGGUACGGAAAAGGUUGGAUUUCAAUCGAUCACGGUUUUUCUGGCAAAGUGAUGAGAUCAAGACUAAAUACAGACUCUCGAGAUGGGACAUCAUGUGUAGACCUAAGGAUCAAGGAGGUUUAGGGAUUGAAAAUUUAGAGAUUAAAAAUAAAUGUCUACUCAAUAAAUGGCUGUCUAGAUUAUCUAUGGAGACAAAGGGGUUGUGGGUACAAAUUCUGACGAAUAAAUACCUACAAAACAAGACUUUGGCGCAGGUUACAUUGAGACCAACUGAUUCACCGUUCUGGAAGGGGGUCAUGCGGUCUAAGAAUGCUUUUUUUCUCAGGUCUAAGUUUGUUAUUGGCAAUGGCCAAUCUACUAGAUUUUGGGAGGAUACUUGGUUGGGGGAGACGCCUUUAGCCAUGCAGUAUCCGCAACUCUACCAUAUUACACAAAGGCGUCAGGCGACUGUUGCGUCAAUUUUGCGCCAGGUUCCUCUAAAUAUUCAGUUAUGUAGAGCCUUAAUAGGUAACACAUGGUCAAGCUGGCUGCAUCUAGUGAGAAGGUUGUUGGAUAUUACCCUUACUGAGAACCCUGAUAGUGUUCGUUGGAAGUUGACCACUGAUGGAGUUUUCUCGGUAAAAUCUAUGUAUUUAGAUCUCAUAGAUUCUGUGUCCAUCCCGAAGUCCUUACAUAUUUGGAAGGUCAAAGUUCCACUUAGAAUUAAGAUCUUCAUGUGGUUUGUUCGCAAGGGGGUUAUUCUAACUAAGGAUAAUUUGGUCAAACGUAAAUGAAAAGGUAAUACUAGAUGCAGUUUUUGUGAGAACGAUGAAACAAUUAAACACCUCUUUCUGGACUGUCCUAUGGCUAAACUUCUAUGGCGAACACUUCUUAUUACUUUCAACAUUAAGCCACCCAAUAGUUUAAACACGUCAUUUGGGACGUGGUUAAGAGGGGUCGAUGAUAUAACUGCUAGCCUGAUCCGAGUAGGAUCAUGUGCACUUCUGUGGGCUACAUGAAACUGUAGAAAUGACUUGGUAUUUAACAAACAUCAACAUAUUCACUUUUUGCAGGUCAUUUUCAGGGUUAUUGCCUUGAUCCGCACAUGAUCAUUACUCACUCCUGUGGAAGCCAGGGAGCCUAUGGUUACUGGGUGUGUCCGAUGGAAGAUGGUAGCUCAGGUUAUCUUCAACCGUUUUGGAUGACGGCAUAUUAAUAGGAUAGGUGUUUAGUCAUCUAGGCUUAUUUCAAUGCCUCCCGGUUGUGGCGACGACGCCGUGUAUCUUUUUGUUAUUUUCUUCAUUUACUUAUCUGAAGACUCUUUGUACUUUUCGAGGAUUUGGUUUUGAAAUAAUAUAUGGCCGUAUGCAUCCUUCGAUGCCGAGGCCGGGGCUUUGCCUCCUUUUCAAAACAAAAAAAUUUAAUUUAUCCUUUCAUUGUUAACCCCUUUUUUGGACUGCAGUUAUUCUAACUCUCUUUUAAGUAAUGUAAUAAGGCAUAUCUUUUUCCUCCAUUUCGAGACAAAGUUCGGACCUAGCACAACUGUAACAUCCGCUCUACAUCGACUCACUCUAGAGAGACUAGUCUUGGCACCUUUUGCAGAACAUGAUUAGUGUCCUGACAUGGAGUAUUUUAGCAUAUAAUGGUCAACUCUCAAGCACAUAUCACUUCAAAUUGCAUUGCUGAAAAAGAACAUACACUUGCACGUUUUUCGAACUUUCACGCAACAAUAAAGUAACUCAAUGAAAUAUUAUGAUACACUCAAAAACAAUAAUAAGCACUCAACAAAAUAUCAACAGUUUUAUUUUGAUGGACGUAGUAGGACUGUAUCUGUUGUCCACUUGGCUACUUUAUCAACAUAUUUAUUUCAACCACCCUGAUCAACAGACAAUAUCUAAGUAUGUUAUGCUAAUUGAGUUAAAAUGGAUAAUCCUUAUUUUAUAAGAUGCAAGGAGUCGAAACAUAUUGUGAUUAGUUGCAUGCUACUAGCCUACUACAACACUAUUGAUCUUAGUUAAGAAGAUUAUCUUGUGAUUAGACGAAGUCUAGAUCAUCUAGCCAAGUAUGAAAAUAUUUAAAGGAGCGUGUGGAUACCUUUUCUUCUUUAAUAAAGGAAAAAAAAUUGUGUAUAUAUGCGAGUCUGAAAACAAAGAAAAGAAAGAUGGACAGCUUAUCACAGCUUCACAUAUGUCAUCUACUCCCUGCGUUCCUAAAUAUAAGUCUUUUAAAAGAUUUUACUAAAAGACUAUAUAUGAAGCAAAAUGAAUGAAUCUACAUUUUAAAUAUAUCUAUAUACAUUCUUUAGAAAGACUUAUAUUUAGGAACGGAGGGAGUAAUAGCUAAUUGAGGGGUUCAAAUAACUUUGUUUCGCAAUAAUGAUUGAAAAUCAACCUUUUGUUGAAAUCCGAAACUCUACGUACGGUAGACCUAUUUUUAUCAAGGGAAUCAACAAAGAUGAUCUGCUACAUAAAAAUGCGCGUAUGGUCACUCACGAGCCACAAGGACGAUGCUUGAGUAGUGAUGAGUGAGGUGCACGAUGAGAUUAAAUAUUCCAACUAGUGUAACCGAAAAGUAUAGUAAGUUAGACAUCGUUCUUGGUCCACGAAAAUAGUGGCGUGAUCGAUGACAUCUUGAUGCCGGCCGGAGACUAGGAUCUGGCUGUUUGAUAGGGUACCAAUUAAUUUAUACCCUCCACUUGGCCAACUUACUUCAUCACCAGUCGAUAACUGUAUACGCAUUGUUCCAUAUUCAUGCAUGCACGUGCUUACAGCCCAAGAGCAUUGGGUUUAGCUGGUGCUGUCUGAUCCGCUUGAACUCGUAGAAAAAGGGCCUUUGGCCUGGACCCUUUAGUCCCAGCCUGUCUUUCGGUCGGAACUAAAAGCCGGCCACGUCAUCCCAAAUUAUCAGUUUAACCCGCUUGGCCACCAUUUAUAUCAUUAAAAAACCUCAAAUUUGUAGCGGGGUGAGUUUACAUGUUACCUUGGAUCGCCAUUGUUUUUUUGGCCCUGCGUGUAACGACGAUGGCCGGAGUAGGCUCGUGCAGAUUAGUCCUCCUCUUGGUAAUUAAGGAGUAUAUAUCCACUAGCUAGUGUCUGACAUUCAGAACCUCCACUCGAUGGCCAGAGUAUUUGAUAUUUAUACUCUCCUCUUGGUAAUUAAGGAGUGCAUAUCCACUAGCUAGUGAUCUAAACGUUUCUAUAUUAAUUUAUGGAGGAAAUAUUUAAUAAGGUUAUUACCCAACAUUACAGGCGCCAUCCGAUAAACCAUAUCACUUUUUUUUGCGAGGACCUAAACCAUAUUCAAAAUGCAGAAUUACUGGCACGUGGUGUAGUUUACGGAUCGAGCCUCCUCCUUCGUGGGCACCAUAGUAGUCAUGCAAGACAUCGUAGUUAUAUAGUGGUCAAGUGUGAGUUAUGAUUGCUUGUAUAUUUUUUAUGCGAUUUAUGAGUCAAUAAAAGUGCUUUUAUUGAGAAAUGUAUCUAUAUUGAUUAUUGUUGAACCUGCCAUUAAUGUAACUAUUUACACAUGUGCGGGGCCAUGCCGUCCAACACGAGGAGCUUCAAAGCGUAUGUGUGGGAGGGGAGUGCGUCGAUGCUGCAAUGACGAACUGCUCUUGGUCGGCGUCCAGCCGGUGUUCCUCACCGGCCAGACCGAGGACCAUAGGGACAUCAUCGUCACCAACCUCCACCGCCCGAGUUCAAGGGCUCCACGGUAACCUACAAGUCUCAUGAGAGGCAGAAGUUGCCGACGACCUGGUAUGUCAUCGUGGGCACCAUUGAUGACCAAGGGAACGACAUCCUGGGGGUAUCCGGUGGGGGGCACACCUUCAAGUUGCCCGACCACAACGGCUAGGCUACAUAGAGAUCGGCCAUGCCUUGAUUGAUUUCUUGAGUAAGCUCUAUGCUUUCAAUUGUAUGCAUGUUUAGUAAACAAUCCCUCCCUAGUUGUUGCUUUGUUCAUUUUCAUUGUCGAGAACUUGAGAUCAAUAGUUAGUAUUUAUAAGACGUGUUACGCUAAAAGUUGCAUGCAACAUAAUCAAUGGUUUGUUGGUUUUAUUGUUUCUCUCUAUUACGAGAUCCAUGGGCUAUAUUGUUGUUUGAUGUAUUGUAAUUCUUAACUUGGAUCUGUAAUAUUGAUCAUGGUGUACUUUUUAACUAAAGAUUGUUGAUGGUGGAAUUAGUAUGAAAGGUACAUAGUGCUGUCACACAUAGGGUGUCACUACUCCCAUUUUGGCCCAACAGAAGGAAGGGUCAUCAUUUACGGGUCACCAGACUGCGUUAGUAUAGAGGCAACAAGGUAUUUUAACCAUGCCGAACAUCAUUAUUGUGAAGAUUAAAAAUGAGGCGGCAACUUGGGUCAAUUUUUGGGGUGGAGGAUUUGAGAAACACUAUGCCCCGUGAGAAACUCCGCUAUAUUAUUUAAGUCUUUCGUUUUUAGCCUCUCUUUUUUCGGCAGCGGUUCUUCCAACUCUCCUAGUAAAUAGAAAGGGGGAAAGAAAAUCUUUUGCCUCCAUUUUGAAAAAGAAAAGGUUGAGACUAACAUCCCUUUCCAUCGACCCACUCUAGAGAGUGUCUCCAACCUUGUUUUCUUGGCCCUUUUGCAUGACAUGAGUAGUGUCCUAACAUGGACUCCUUGAUGUGUAACGCUCAGCUCUCCUGACCAAAUCGCUUAGAAUUACAUCACACGCAAAAGUUAUAUACUUUUGCAUGUUUUUCGCACGUCAAUGCAACAUUAAAAAUUUCAAUGAAACAUUAUGAUACAUUUUGAAACAAAAAAGAACUCAGCAAAACAUACUGUGGAAAUAGAAAAUUUUUGCCAACAACUAAAAAAACGCAGUCAUCAAUUUAGCCGCAACAAAAAUAAGAUGUUAGAAGUCAGAACAUCUUGUGCAUGAUUAUAUGCUAUAGGACUAUUCAUUAGAGAAACUAGUUGGGUAAAACUUUCUCCUUUUUCCGAAUCUCCUUUUUAAUGUGGGGAAAAAGCUAAUGCAUUGUGGUUUAAAGUAAAUAUUACAUCGGCCUGGGAAAUUUAAAAUGAAUCUAGACUGGACGGCUACAAAGAGAACCAUAAAAGUAUUCAAGCACGUCAGAAGAAAAGGAAAGAUAAAAUUCAAAAAAGAAAAGAGAAAAGGAAAGAUGAACAACCUAUCACUUGCCUCAUAUCUUUACCUAAUAAUAAAGAGGCUAUUGCUUCCGUCGAAAAACCCACCGCUGCCGUUUUUUAAAAAGCCCCCUGUCUUUUAGGUAAUUAAACCCGCAGUACCUUUUUAUGUGUUACGAACAUGAAAACGUUUCAUUUUUGCAGGGAGCCUCCCAUGGCAUUGGAUAAGAGAAACGCAUCUGGGCUGACGAAAACGCACGAGAGGGCUAUCGCUUCUGCCCUCAUAAUCCCACAUCGAUACUUCACAGAUAAUUUCAUCACUUUAUAUACAUGCGCCUUGGUGAUUUUACAAGAGGCAACGGAAAUCAAGAGAGGAACAAAUUCGAGAAGAAGAAAUUGAGAUGACGCAAACAGAGGUGGAGCUGCGAGACAGAGGGGGCUCGGGGCGAAGGAAAGGGUCGGGCGCCGGCGAUGCAUACGUGGAGGUGGGGGCGUCGGGGUUAGAGGAUUCAGGCAACCGGCGGGGUAAGUCUUGCCGGAGACUGGCCCCAUAGGCCGACCUCGCAGCAGCACACCAUGGGAGGUGGUCGCGAGGUGCAGAGGUGGGAGGCGGUGGAGGAGCGGAGGAGGAGGCGAGUGCGGGCGCCAUUGGAAGGGGGGAGUCGGGGAGAUUGGGGAUCCUGUGGGGCUCUCUCCCCUAGCGGCGCGAGGUGGAGGAGAGGAGGGGGGCUGGGGAUCGGGCUAGGUUAGGGGAUUUAGGAGUGGGUAAGGCUAUGCCUUGGCACGCCUAAUGGGUUGUGCACUACUACUCAUCUCUCUUUCCUUUAAUUUCUUUAUCUAAAUUCUUUAAUUAAAAAUAUGUGGUAUUAUUUUUUUUCCGUUGCAACGCACGGGUCCUUUUGCUAGUAUCAUCUAACAAAUCGAGGGGUUCGCAUAGAUCUGCUUCGCCACAUAAUAAUAUAAUCAUGACAAAAGGCUACCUUCUGGUGAAAGCAGAAGCUCUGCAAUAAAGCUGCAAUCGUAGACCUAUUUUAUGAAGGGAACCAACAAAUCGAGCUGCACAAUCCAAUUAAAUACUAAUUCCUCCGUUCCUAAAUAUAAGAUUUUUUAAAGAUUAUAUUAUGAACUACAUAAAAAGAAAAAUGAAUGAAUCUAUAUUUUAAAAUAUGUUUAUAUACAUUUGUAUGUAGUUCAUAGUUAAAUCUAUAAAAGGUCUUAUAUUUAAAAACAGAGGGAGUAUAAGUACUGAGUAAGUUUGACAUUUGUUCUUGGUCCAACAAAACAGUCGUGUGACCCAUGACGAAGCGGCGAUGCCGGAGUUGGAUCUCACUGUCUGAUAUUUAUCGAUUUGUGCCCUCCACUUGGCCAGCUUAAUUGAUCACCAGUCUCUUUCAUUGACAAUUAGUGCUGCUCAUACACGUGCGUUGCAUACAGAUGAUAUAUUGGGUUUAGGUACGGCUGUCUGAUCCACUUGGCCACCUUCUCACUAGAAAGCUCAAGUUUGCAGCGACGAGUUUGCAUGUUACUACAUUGGAUCGCCGUUGUUUAGCCCUGCGUGUGUGAUGAGGGGCGGAGACCCGGAGCAGACCCGUGCAGAUUCGUAUUCCCUUGGUUAUGUUUUAUUCUGUAUAUUAGGUUUGUAUAAUGUAAAACCUAAAUUUGCUUCGCCACAUAAUAUAAAAUAAUAUAAUCAUGACAAAGGCUACCUUCUGGUGAAAGCAGAAGCUCUGCAAUCAAGCUGCAAUCGUAGACCUAUUUUAUGGAGGGAACCAACAAAUCGAGCUGCACAAUCAAAUUAAAUACUACUCCCUCCCUUUUUAAAUAUAAAAACUUUUAAAAAUUAUACUAUGAACUAUAUAAGAAACGGAAUGAGUGAAUCAAUACUCUAAAAUACUCCCUCCGUUCUAAAAUAGGUGUCUUAACCUUAAUACAAUUUUGUACUAGAUCUAGUACAAAGUUGAGACAAUUAUUUUAAGACAGAGAGAGUAUGUCUAUAUAUAUUUAUAUGUAGUUUAUGUUGGCUUUGGAUCCGUAGAUUAAUUCACCCAGUAGCUACCACAUACGUGCAAGCUAGCCUCUAAGCUAGCAAGCAGGCACACAAGUGGAUGGAUAUCCAAUUCGUAGAAAUAGAACGACGUACGACGAGCUAGCUAACUGAUUCGAUCGUCUUGACUGCUCGGAAUGUAACUCGUUGAAAAACUGAUCGAUGGAUUGCUAACAGGCUCGUAUCGAGCCUGGUACUUUUUUAUUGCGUUUUGAUCUCUGGUGUUACAAGCAACAUCUCUAGGAUGCCUUUUAUACACAUCCACAAGGAACUAUGAAAAUAGACUAGGACUAGGUAUCCUAAUACUACUAGAACUCGGUUUGAUUUUCUUUCCUAAUCCUAUGUGUACAAGGCAACGUGAUUAACUCACAUUCACCCCCUAAUCACGAUGUCCUUACUUCCGACCUGGGUCCCAAACACGAUUGCUGCUUCUCAUAAAUGUUAUCAUCGACAUGGCCUUUGUCGUCCCUUGCAACAUUUUAUGGACCGUCUUUACUGUCGUCGGCUCGUCCGUAGCUCGAUGACAACACUCCUUUUUGGUCGUGUCUUCAAUCUUCAUCUCUUCUUCGGUGCUUUGUAGACUGUCCUUCGGAUCAUCGAGGGUACAUCUUUUGAACCUGAGCGUGACCAUACUUUGGUCUAACUUUGAAUUUCAAGCUCUUGGCGCUUGCAUCAGCCCGUAACUUUGAACCACAAGGAAGAAGUACUUCUUUCCUCCGUGAGUUGCUGGGGUGAUAGGGCCACAUAGAUCACCAUGGAGCAGCUAGAGUGCAUCACUUGCACGAUAGGUAGACUGAGCAGGGAACGGCCUGCGGUGCUGUUUUCCAACCAAGCACCCGUCACAUACUCGAUCAACAUGGUCGAUAACUGGCAUCCCGGAUACCAUCUCCAUCUUUGACAUCUUCUUCAAGGCGUAGAAGUUAACAUGUCCGAAUCAUCAUCACUCUUGGCGAGCCAACACUCCAGUUGAGAUUGAUCAAGGUUGAGGAUAUAGAGCCUGUUCCGUGUGCGAGUAACACGAGCUAGCACGUUUCGGAGGUUGUCGAAGAUCGUCAUUACUCCGUUAUCGAUACCCACCUUGCAUCCAUUCUCGUCAAGCUUCCCAAUAAAGAUGAUGUUGUUGUGAAGCCGUGGGAUGUAGUACACUCCGGUAAGUAUGCGAUGUUCGCCUGUGAGACCCUCGAAGAGGACAGAUCCUUGCCCACAAAUCUCCACAUUUGAACCAUCACCGAACUUGACUGAGCCUUCAACAUCGUAUUCCAGCUCGAGGAAUUUCUCCUUGCACCCCGUCAUGUGGUUACUGGCACCCGUGUCGAGAUACCACAACACAUUCUGAUCACCAGCUAACUUCGGUGUCACUUUGUUUUCAUGAAGUAGCACCUUCCGGCUUGGUUUCACAACCACCGUUUCAGCGAGAUCACAAACUUCGGCCAUCAGAAGACCUGGACCUUCGUCUUCCUCCUUUGCCAAAUUUGCCUUGAUCUCUCGCUUGUCAUGCUCCGGACAAUCCUUUGCAAAGUGACCCAUCUCGUUGCAGUUAUAGCACUUGACCUCGGACAUAUCCAAGUUCCGUUGCUUCCGCCCUUUAGAUCGGUCAGCCUUACCACGACCUUGUAGCUUGCCUUUUCCUUUGCCUUCUCCGGUUUGUCCGCCGCGCGUUGUGCUGCUUGAGCCUUCGUUGCCAUCACACCUUCCUUUGCUACUUGGGGACUCCCAAUCUGCACGUGAGUACAUGAGUUGGUCACUACCUCCUCCGUUGCCUUCCCGACAACUACGAGAAUUCUCUUCCCACGUCCGCAGGCGUCCGAUCGCCUCCGUUAUGGUCAUGUCGUCGAUGUCGUAAAGCUGCUCGAGCGUGCCAAUGAUGUACGUGAAUUUUUUAGUCACCGAACUGAAAAAUUUCUCCACAAUCUCGGUCUCCUCGAGCUUUGCACCAAGCGCGCGGAUCUCUCCCACCAAAGUAGUAAGACGCAUGGCAUAGUCGUUCACCGAUUCAGUUUUCUCCAUCUGCAACUUGUGAAAUUGGCGCUUCAGCACUUGUGCCCGAGCCUUGGUGACGCGAUCUUCUCCGAUCCUCAUCUCGUUGAGUGCGUUCCACGCCUCUCUUGCCGUCUCGAACUCCACCAAUGUCAUCAGCACGGAAUCCGGCACAGACUGGGCUAUGGCGGCCAUGGCACCUUCGUCGCGCUCCUCGUCGACGUCGUCGUCCGUGAUGGCCUCCCACACUCGAAGAGAUCGGAGAAUAAUCUUCAUCUUCACCGCCCACACGUCAUAGUUGGCAUCGGUGAGCAUCGGGUACUGGAUGGGGAUGUUGCGAUGCGCCUGGACGUUGGCGCUGCUCGUUCCUCCAUCACUCGUUGCUGACUUGUCGUCCUUCUUCACCUUGUCGUCGUUCUUGUUCGCCUUGGCACCGCCUUUGCCGGAUUUGACCGACUCAGCGUCGCUGUCCGUCAUCGUAGAUCGUAGAUCGUCGAGGCUCUGAUACCAAUUGUUGGCUCUGGAUCUGUAGAUCAAUUCACCCAGCAGCUACCACGUACGUGCAAGCUAGCCUCUAAGCUAGCAAGCAGGCACACAGGUGGAUGGAUAUCCAAUAGAACGACGACGAGCUAGCUGACUGAUUCGAUCGUCUUGACUGCUUGGAACGUAACUCGGUGAAAAACUGAUCGAUGGAUUGCUAACAGGCUCGUAUCGAGCCUGGUACUUUUUGUAUUGCGUUUUGAUCUCUGGUGUUAUAAGCAACAUCCCUAGGGUGUCUUUUAUACACAUCCACAAGGGACUAUGAAAAUAGACUAGGACUAGGUAUCCUAAUACUACUAGGACUCGGUUUGACUAUCUUUCUUAAUCCUAUGUGUACAAGGCAACGUGAUUAACUCACAGUUCAUAGUUGAAUCUUUAAAAGGGCUUAUAUUUAAGAACGAAGGGAGUAUAAGUAGUGAGUAAGUUUGGGACACGCCGUUUUGGCUCCCGGACUCAGAUGAGCCCGAGCGUAAACAGUACGCCAGUUUGGGGUGCAAAAAAUGUUCCAAAAAAUCAAAAAAAAUUGUGAUGCAAGAUGCUCCUAUGUGUGAACUCUCUGUAAAAUUUUGUGAAGUUUGGACAUACGAGGAGCUCACUGCAAAAAAGACGAAAUUCAGAUGUGUGAGAAACUUUUGAAAAUCACACUAUUCAUGCCUGAUUUUGUCUUUUUUGCUGCAAACUCUUCAAAUGUCCAAACUUCAUAAAAUUUUACAGAGUUCACACAUCGAAGCAUCUUGCAUCAUAAAAAAAUAUUUUUUUUAAACUUUUUUGUAUUCCAAACCGUUGUACUGUUCACCGGGCUCAUACGAGCCCGGGCUCACAGAUGGAUUACCGGUAAGUUUGACAUUUGUUCUUGGUCCAACAAAACAAUGGUGUGAUCGAUGACCAAGCGGCGAUGCCGGAGUUGGAUCUCGCUGUGUGAUAUUUAUCGAUUUGUGCCCUCCACUUGGCCAGCUUAAUUGAUCGCCAGUCUCCUUCAUUGACAAUUAGUGCUGCUCAUACACAUGCGUUGCAUACAAAUGAUAUAUUGGGUUUAGGUACGGCUGUCUGAUCCACCUGGCCACCUUCUCACUAGAAAAGCUCAAGUUUGCAGCGACGAGUUUGCAUGUUACUACUCCCUGUGUACCGAAAUAUAAGACCUUUAAGAAAAAUUCCGACCAGAUGAAAAUGUGGACAAUUGACCAGGUUACCCCCCACCUCCGGCAGCUCGCUAAUUUCAAAUCAACCCAGAUCCAGUCGCCCCCCACCUCCGGCCAGCUCGCUAAUAACCCAGAUCUCACUACUCUGCUUGUCCGCUCCCUCCUCUGCCCCAGCUUGUCCGCUCCCUCCUCUGCCCCAGCUUGUGCGGCCCCUCCUCUGCCCCUACCUCCUCUGCCCAGCUCGUCUGCUAGCUACCAGCAGCUUCUCCAGUAGCCAGCGGCAGCAGCUCCUCCGGCAGCUAGCAGUAGAUCCAGCAGCUCCUCCACCAGCCAAUAGGAACUCCAGCAGCUCCUCCACCAGCUAGCACGAGCUCCAGCAGCUCCUCCACCAGACACCAGCACCAGCUCAUCCACCAGCCAGCGGCAGCCCCUCUGUCUGCCGGCAGAAGCAGCUCUUCCGCCUCUGCACUCCCAGCUGCCUCAACGAGGUCCUCUCCCAGUGAUGCACCCAUCGCCCAACAGAUCGCCGGAGGUUUUUCUUUUGAUCCAGGGUGCAGAUCGCCACAGGAGGUCCUAGUGGUGUUGGAUCCUGCUUAUCCCGUCUCCUGCAAACCAAAAAAGCAGGACAAUUAGAGGGUAUUUAUCACAACUUAGCAACAGUUGAACAGAAAACAGUUUAACAACAGCAGCAAAAAUUUUAGCGAGAUCAACAACAUCAGUAGCAGCAUCAAGACAUAGCAACAAUAGCAGCAAUAGGGAGACAUAGAAGUAGCGACAUGGAGUGGCAGCAGGAGUUCAUCAAAAUCAAUAGGGAGUAGCAGCAGCAGGAGUUCAUCACAAUCAAAAUCAACAGGGAGUGGCAACAACAUGGAAUUUGACCUCAACUGUACUCCGCCCGAAGAAGAUGAGAUCAGUCAAAAUGAGAUCAACAUGGAGGACUCACAGGGAGGCAAUGAUCAUGUUGAAGAUGAGAUCAACAUGGAGGACUCACAGAGAGGCAAUGAUCCUGGUGAACAUGAUAUGAACAUGGAGCAAAUAAGGGGAGGCAAUGAUCCCCACGAAGAUGAUAACAGUAAGCACAAUAUACUCAUUUAGCAGUAACAGUGUCUCAUUUACCAAGUUUUUGAAAAUGAACAGCAAGUCUAGUUUCUGAAGAUGAACAGUAACUCCACUUUCUAGAAAUAAACAGUAAUAGUAACUCAUUUGAUCAUUUGAACAUGUGACCAUUUAAAUAUUUUAUCAAUUUAUCAUUUGAUAAUUUGAGUAGGACUAAUAUUUUUUCAUUGUUGUGUUUCUUGUUGCAGUUCUUGAGCAAGGAGUUAGAAAGAGGAAAACUCUGAGUGACCAACAAAAAUAUGCUGCUUAUGUGGCAUUGCACAUAUUAUGUAUGAGUAGAGGUGGAAAGUUCAAGAUAACGGAUAAGAAAAACCUUGCACAUUUUUUUAAUGUAGAAUUGAGGAGUAUACAAAGAGUUUGGCAGAAGGCGAUGAAGCAAAUUUCAGAAGGUUUCGAGGUGGAUGUUUCCAACCAGAAAAAAGGAAAUGUGGAAGAAAACCAAAGGACAUCAACCUAGAGAAAAUCCCUACAAUACCACUCAAUAGUAGGUCUACUAUCAGAUCAUUAGCCUGGCAACUGGGAUGUAGCCCUACCACUCUCCACAGGAAUUCAAAAUGAAGUUGAUAAAGAGGCAUACAAACUGUGUCAAGCCAGCUCUAAAGGAAAAGAAUAAGAAGGAUAGAAUGAAAUUUUGCUUGUCAAUGCUUGAUGAGGCAACAACAAAAACUGCAAGGCCUAAGUUCAAGACUAUGCAUAAUGUUGUACAUAUUGAUGAGAAGUGGUUUACGAUGACCAAGAAGAAUAAAACUUAUUAUCUGCUGGAUGGGGAGGAAGAGCCUACAAGGCCUAUACAUGGCAACUGUAUUGGCAAGGUUAUGUUCUUGACGGGCGUAGCUAGGCCACGGUGGGAUAGUGAAGGAAAUGUGACCUUCUCUGGAAAAACCGAUGAACUCACGAUAAACUGCGUGCGCUCUUUGUCCCAGUUUCAGUUCCCUUGUUCUUGCUUUUCUAUAUCCCGAUGAACUCACGAAUCCAUGAUCCAUGGUCAAUCCCCAAUAUAUAUACUCAAGCAAUAUACUCUCUCAGCAGUAUAUAAUCAAUCAUACAGGAAAGAGUAUCACUCUCUCAGCAGAAUACAUACUCACGAAUCCAUGGUCAAUAGCAGCAUAUACUCCGUGUGGGGAUUAGUCUAGCUCGUAAGCCACGGGUCCAAAUCAAGCAAUAUAUCUACACUAGAAUCUGUAGCAGAGUACACAUCUGACAAAACCGAGAGAUGUGGAGAGGAAGGGGGUAAGAGACGGAAGGGUACCUGGGUGAGGUCGCUGAGGUGGAAGCAGCCGGUGGAGCGGUCGAGGUCGCCGCUAGGGUGUCGCCGGUGCACUGGAGCUCUGCCAACUCGUCCCCAACUCGACGCCCAGCUCGACGCCCAGUCCGGCGCCCAGCUCGAUGCCCAGGUCGACGCCGUCAUUGCUCGGGCUCGGCUUCAGCGCCUCCUUCACCCUGUCCUUGCUCGCCCAGCUCGUCGGCUUCUUGGUCUCGACGAGGCUCCCGCUGAAGUACUCCACCCCCGCCGCCGCAUAGACGAGCAACCCAACUGAGGGCGCCCGCAGCUCCCGCUGAAGUGAUCUGCUAUGUCCAGCACCACUCCGUCAUCCAUAUCCAACAUCGGCGCCCACACCAGCUCUGUCGAUGCAAAACAAACACAUUUUUGACCUUUGAGUGGGAAAGGAAGGAGAGGAAGCACGCAGUGGGAAAGGAAGGAGACAACACACGCGGUGGGCUGUGGGAGGAAGAACGCGGUGGGCUGUAGGAGGAAGAACGGUGGGCUACGGUGGCCGGCGACGACGUAGAGAGGCGACGAGGGAGGGGAAUGAGAGGGUGUGAGAUCUGGGCAGCGAGUGGAUGAGAAUGGGCAGGUGGGGGCAUUUUCGGAAACUCGGAAAGUUUCGUAGUGUCGCGAGAUUUACACUAGAAUCGCUAAAACGUCUUAUAUUUCGGUACAGAGGGAGUACAUUGGAGCAGACCUGUGCAGAUUCGUACUCCCUUCGUUUUUAUUUAUUCUGUAUAUCAGGUUUAUAUAAUGUCAAACCUAAAUCCUUUUAACAAAUUUGUAGAAAAAUAUAUCAACAUAAUCCCUUCAUUUCACAAUUUAGCGCUCGUUCGUGUGCUUUUCGAGAUCUAAGUUUGACCAUACCUUUAAACAAGAAGACCGAUUGCUAUGGGAGCAAAAAUUGAAUCACUGAAUUUGUAUUGAAAUUAAAUACUGAAUUUGUAUCGAAAAUAUAAAUUCAUUGGUAUAAUUUCUGUUGCCACCGCAGUCGGUCUCGUUGGUGAAAUUUAUGGUCAAACUUAGACCUCAAAAAACGCGAGCGCACUACAUUGUGGAACGGAGGGAGUAUACACCAUCAAAUCAAUAUCAUUGGAUUCAUCAUUUCAUAUAUUUUCACAUCAUAUAAAUUUAUUAUUGUAAAUGUUCAUAUCGUUUUCUACAAAUUUCAUCAUACUUUAGAUAGUUUGACUUCAGACAAAACUAAUAUGAGGAGUAAAUAAAAUCAGAGGGGUACCACUCCUAGUAAUUAAUGUGUAUAUCCACUAGCUGCUGAUUGACAUUCAAAUUCUCCACUUGACGAUGGCCAGAGUAUCUGAUAUUCAAACUCUCCACUUGGCCACCUUAUUUCUUCUCCCCAAAUGAGCUAUGAACUGCUCAUUCAUCCAACAUUAAAAUCACUGUGAUGAAACUCUACUCUUUCAGUUUCAUAAUUAGUGCAUAUAGUUUUUCCCCAAAAAACUAAACUUUGACAAAGAUUAUAAAUAAAAAGUCUAUAUCUAGCACAUUGAAUACAUACCAAUAGAUUCGUCAAAAAUAUUUGCAUAUAUUAUAUGAUGGUAUUGUGGAUAUACAUAGAGUUAUCUAUAAACUUGGUCAGAUUUUACAAUGUUUGACUUUUCUAUAAAACCAAUAUGCACUACACUAGGGGAUGGAGGGAGUAUCGUAUGAAAUAUUAUGUGGAAUUAUUCCGUUUCAGACAAUGUUUGGUAUCAAACACAACAGGUACAAUGUUCUAUAGUUUCUCCAAUGUGCAGAAUUAUUAGUUGAAUUGGCAAUUAUUUACAGGAGGGGAGUGCGCUGGUGUGACCGAAAACUAAGUGGAUCGAUGUAUAACAAGCUUCUUUUGGUCGGCAUCAAGACGGUGUUCCUCAUUGUCCGAAUCGAGGACCGGAGUGCAGUAAAUUUUACCAAUCUAUGAUGCGCUCUGGGUGGAUGAAACUGCUCCAAAAGUUGCCCGAGUUCAACGACUCUGUGGUGACCUACGAAUCCGGCGAGCGGCAGAAGUUGCAAGACGUCAGGUAUGAUAUCGUAGGCAACAAUAGUGACCAGUGGAGUGACAUCCUCGACACACCCAAGGGCACCCGCACCUUUAAGCUUCCCUACCCGAUGUACUAAAUCGGCUAGGUUGAAUGCUAGCUAAUCGUCCACGAAUAAGCUCCAUGUUGUUCACUAUCCAUGCUUUGUGAUUACCUUUUUUCCGGGCAUGCUUCCUCAAUACUAAUCCACUAUUACUGCUAGUUUUCUAAUUUCUAUUGAGAAAUCUAUUGCUGCUUGGUUAAAUUCCAUAGUUGGGACCUUGAGUCAGUUACUAGUAUUAAUAAGGUAUGCUACAAAGAAAUUGCAUCUUGCAUAAUCAAUGAAUCGAUGCUCCAUUUUUCCUUGAUUAUAUAAUAUAUGUAGUUUCUAUUUUACACUUUGAUUUAUUUAUUUUUUACUUUUAAUAUUUCCUUUUUUUUCAUUUUCUAGUUUUAUGUUUUAUUUUUUUAUUUGAUCUCCCUUAUGUAUUUAUUUUCUUAUUUUAUUCUUUAGAAUGCUUUCUAUUUGUAAAAAAUAAUGAAUUUUUCCAUACCCUAAUAGUUAAAAACAAUUCCGGGAUAUUAAAAUUACGAUGAACAAGGUCCUAAUAUACGUCGAGAUUUUCCCAAAUACCUGAUGAAUAGUUUUUAUAUGUUUAAGUACAUUUAUAAUUUUGUAAUUACACCAUCAAAUUUAAAUAUAUUUUAAAUAUUUGUUGAAUGCACAAAAAGCAUUUACUAAAUAAUUCGGAACAUUUGCUAUUACAUUGUGAACAUUUCUAGAAUACACAUUGAACAGUUUCCAAACCAUGAUGACUUUUCUAAAUAUGCAUUAUAAAAUUUUCAGUUACACGAACUAAACUGUUUUACCCUGAAUUAUUAUUAUUUUUAAAUUUGUUUUUUCUUAGAAUUAUAAAUAAAAUUAAAUUGAAGUGUUUCAGAGUAUAAAGGACAGAACGGGUAAAAACAAUGACAGAAAAAAUAAAAAUUGCAUUGGGUCGGGUCAUUGUGGAAUACUAUGGGCGAGCCCAAAGGAGUGUUCAUUACUGGUGAAUUAUAGUAGCAACGUGAGGGAAAGUGUGCUUCUCAGCCCGAGCUCAAAUGAGCUCUGGUGAACAGUAAAAUCCAAAAAUAAUUAAAAAAAUAUGAAAUUGUUUGGUGAAAGAAAUUGAAAAUAGUCGUAACUGCCUCCAAAAUUGUAUUAUGAAAUAACAUUUAUUGAAGCCAUGGAGAAAACAAAAUCGAUACUCCAAAAUGCUUUUGAAAUUAGUAUUUUCAGAGUAUCGAUUUUGUUUUUUUGCCACAUGUCACACAAAUGUGAUUUUCUGAUGAAAUCUUGCAAGAUAUUAGAACUUUUGCCAAUGUUUAUCACAAAAAAAAAUAGAUUUUUCUGGAUUUUUUUAAUUUAGUUUUGAUUUUACUGUUCAUCAAAGCUCAUUUGAGCUCGGGCUGAGAAACUCCACAUCCCAACGUGAGCGCCUAUUUGGUGUCGUGCUCAUUUCUGGUAGCCGACAAACUGAGUGGUUUUGUGCGUGACGUAAAAGACACAAAACAAUCAGGGCACUUCGAAGGAAUCAACGUUGUGUCCUUUCACAGGGAAUGCGUGAUGCUAGUUGCUGGCCACUCGUGCCAACAAUUUUUGCUAAUAGAAACACAACAACAAUGUGCAGGAAAUUACUGCAGCGGUGAAUUCCAAAUAUUUUCUAAAGUACACAAAUAUUUCAUCAAAUCUGAACGUUUUUUGAAAAAUCACAGUAUUUUUAAGAUGCCCAAUAUUUUUUUUAACUUUUCAGAAUAUUUUAAAUUUCAAACUUUUUUUUUAAAUUGCCAAACAUGUUUUGAAUUUGUGGACAAAACUUUUGAACAGAGAAACAGUUUUACAACAUCUGAAACCUUUUUUGGAACGCAAUAAGUUUUUCCAAAUUUCCAAGCAUUUACAGAAAAUGGAACAUAUAUUGACCAUUUCCAAACAUUUUUCAAAAACAUGAAUACUUUUUGAUUUAUGAACAUCAUUUCAAAACAGGAACAUUUUUUGAUAAUUCUGAACUAUGUUAGAAAAUGCGAACAAUUUUUGGACGUUUGUUGAGAACCCAAUCAUUUUUAGAAGAAAAACAAUUAUUAAAGUUUCAGACAUUUUUUUACUUGUGAAGUAAUGACCAAAGAAAACCAUAAAAUGUAAAACAACCGAAAAUAAGGAAAAAAGGAAAGAAAAAGUUGAAAAAAAUAAAAAUAUGAAUAAUAAAAAAUAAUAAAUUCUGGAAAGCAGUGAAAAAUAAAUCACAAAACGGAGACCAGUUUAUACGUCCUGCUGCUAUAUGACAAAGUAAAAAAUCUAAAAAGAAAAUCCCACAACAAAAGCUAUUUGACAUACCGAGCGUCAUAUAGAAAAUUCAAACAACAACCACCACAGAACGCUGAUACAGAUGACGGGCAGGUGGAUGUUUCUCAGAAUCAGAUUUUGAAGAAUCAUGAGGCGAAAAGAACUGGUGCCUGCAAUCGGCCGUGGCAUGUACACAGGUGCUAGUAAUGAUAUAAAUCACGGAUAUUGAUUUUGAAGGUCGAGCUCCAUGGAGGUCUUUGAAUGCAAAAUUCAAAAUUCAUGAAAAUAUUUUUUUUUUAUAUUUCGAAAAAUUCCGUAACAAAUACAGAGAUAGAUGAAGGCAUAAUACACAAGUGUGUAAAUUUUUAGGACCAAAUACGUUGAAAUAAGGCUGUACAAAAAAGGCAAAUCUGAGGUUGUUUAACACAUGAUACUAUUCAUCCUCUCGGAACAUGAUUUUAUAUUUUUAUACAGGUUGCAUUUCAACGUAUUUCAUCCUUGUUUAGUUUUAUAAUUGUUUUCAAAAAAUCUGAGGAUGAGGCAUAUGUCUCACAUCCUUGUUUAGUUGUAUAAUUGUUGUAAGAUUUUUUUUUUAAUUUUGAACUUUUCAAAAAAUCGGCCUCGGCCAAAACGCCUUUCUCUAUAAAUCGUGAUUUGUAUACUGGUAAGAAGAAUGAAGCAAUGCAUAUUCAACUAAACAAACUACAUAUUGUCUUGAAUUCACUCAUUUGGAAUCUAGCUAGAAAGGGUGCUUUUUAGGUGCCCAGAUUUUUUAAUUUUUUUGAGGGAAGUGACGAGGUUCUUGGGAAGAAAAGAUUUAACAGAUUCAUUGGUUUUCACAAAGAGAGCAAAUCAAUAUGAGCGCAGAAGCAAUCGAGUUUUGCCAUUAUUAAGCAACAACAUGACAUACAUGAUACAACUAGAGGUACAUAUAGCUAAAUUAGCGGAAGCCCUUUGUAUUGGUACUGCUCGCCGAGCUCCGCGAGCAGAUCGUUUUCCGCCUUGAGUAUGUCGCCCAUGUUGUCCAGCAGGAGGUACUUGUCCAGCGAGAAGCCCGACUCCGGCGAGAUGAGCGCCGCGACGUUUCUCAGGAACUCCUCGUCUAAUGGGGCAAGGGGCUCCCACUUUUGUCCCGACGUCAGCAGCGGCUUCUGAGGUCGCCGCCUCACGACCUUCAUUUUCUUCUUCUUCAUCGUCAUCCUCCUCUUCUCCCCUCUUGCGGGCGUCGGCGACUUCGCCCCCGCCUCCGUGUUCUCACACGAUGAACUCGCCAUGAUUCUUCUCCCGUCCUUCUUCCGCUGAGAAGAUUGGUCUGCUCUGCUGGUUUCGCAGACUUGCGUGCUCGCCGGCACCGGUAUAAAUACAGCAAAAAUAAGAGAUCGAUGAUUCAUUUCUUGGCUAGGGGAGCAGUUCGUUGUAUCCGACUCGUAUUCAGUCCACGGUUCCGGUUCCUACUCCCGCAUGGUCGACGCAUCGGUUGGGAUCCUAAUUGGGACGGCCCAAUGGUAGGUUAUUUUAUAGUAUUUUUAUGUAUAUUGUCUAUAAGGACGUUACUGCAUCAAAAAGAAAAGUAUAAUGGCUCUGCAUCUAGUCUAGUUGCUGAAGCGUGUGCGUCGAACAGCUUCCCCAUCGCUUAGUGACAGUUCAUGAAAUCGUGUGCGAUGACCAUUUCUAUGGAUUUUUUUUGCAUGAUAAUAUGUGUCUCAUUUAUAUCAUAAUGAAAAUAAUACAAGACCAUUGUUGUGGAUUAUAACAACACAUAUACACAGCCAAAUACAAACCCUACGGUCUUGGUCACAAUAUAGUGGUACAGGUGUCCAUUAGGACAUAUGUCCGUGUGUUGCAACGGAAAAAAAAUUAAUUUGUAUUUGCAAGCACAACACGUCAUGCUCCGCUACGAAAGAACGCUAGUUACCACAUGACCAAAACGACCAUCGAUGCAUCACUACAUCCAGAGAGUGUCACCACCUGCAGGGAGGCGCACGUCAAAGCCUUCAACAAACGCGGGGACUAUGUUACUCCCUUUGUCAGACAUUAUUAGGCUGGUGGACCACUUAGCCUCAGCCGGACAUUAAUCAUGAAGUGAGCCUUAGCGCAGAUGGUAAAGAUAUCUUCAACGUGACGAUGUGGCGUUGUGGCUCCCUGGCCCAGAUCUUCCCACCAAUGAAUAGUAAAAUCGACAAAAAAUAGAAAAAAUGAUUUUUUUUUUUGGAGUGCAAGAUGUUCCUUUGGGUGAUGUCAAAAACUGCUUGGAGCUGAUUUUUAUUUUUUUUUGCCAGACGCUCCUCGAAUGUCCAAAUACCUCGAAAUUUUGCAGACAUUUUAGCAUCUUAUGAGCCAAAAAGGAUUCAGAUUUUUUUGAUAUUGUGCUUUUCACCGGAUGCAGAUGAGCCGGGGACCAUUUUGAUUAUUAUUAUGGCUAAUCUAGUUUAAAUGUGUCAUUGUUCAUGUAGCCCACAAUCAUUUUUUCUUUUAUUGUUUGAACACACCACGUCCUUCAUUUCUUUUAAAGGUUUCCUUGCAUGUCUGCUCGUCGUGCAGUUCAUUCCUUUUAAUUGUCAUUCCUUUUAAUUGUCCGCUUUUAGCAUCCAUUUUUAACUGUCUUGCUGAUAUUCCAAGCAAACCGCAAGGUAUAUAAACCGGUAGGGAUCUAUCUAAAGAGGCAAGGUGGGUUUAUUUAACAUAAAAUAUUGAUGUCGAGUUAUUUUUAAAAAAACAGCCUCAACUUUAUUAAUUAGAGAUAAUUGUUACAUCGUCUAUUAAAAAAGAUACAAUAUUUUCCAAAGGCUCCUCAAUCCACUCACUCGUAUCAGAACUCUUUGCUAAUCUAGCAAGCUCAUGUGCUACUUCGUUCGCUUCUAGUAAAAAAAAUUCAGAAGCCAUAGAAAAACAAUCCUCAAAGGUUGCAGCCGCCGCUCCCGCAUAGUACCCUCCCUUGUUCAUUGUUUCAAUUACUUCCGAGAAUAUUGAUGUAGAGUUGGUUAGUGCAGUUGCCUUACCCUGGACAUGGAGUAUUGAGUUUAAUCUUCCAUAAAUACAUAUUUUUGUACACGUUGUUCGUGGCCCAUGGCAGACGGCCCAAUAUUGUAGCGAAGCCCAGCAGUGCAGCAACCUGACAUGGUACGAUAGAUGGUGAGGUGUAUGCGUGCUAGCAACGUAAGAAAACGGCCAGGGAGAGGCAAUGUAUGUACAAUAUUUUUAACCAUGGAUUCAAGCUCGUAAAAUUUUGAGACUUUUCCAUAAAACUGUAUGACAGACUAAGAAUACAUAUUUUCUUAAUUAGUAGGUAUAGAUGCGGCAAGUGGAUUGUUUCCUGGUUUUGGGAAGUUUCCAUAAGCUUUUCAGACGGUUUUUCAUUUUUUCUAUUUUGGGGUUUUCCUGUACCAAUCUUGUCUAUUUUUUAUUUUCUACUUAUUUUCAUUUUGCUUUAUUGCAUAUUCUUUUACUUUUUUUCAUUUUCCUUUUUCUAUUUAAUUUUGGCAAAACACGAAUUGUUUCAAUUUUAUGAUACUUUUUUUAAUUGAGGAACUCCUUUUCGAACUCGUUUUUUCAAGUUCAUCAUUAUUAUUUUUUAAAAUUAUCACCUUUUUAAAAAAUAUAUGAACUAUUUUUAAUGUUUGUGAACGCUGUCUCAAAAUUGAUGAACUUUUUUCCUAAAUGCUGAAGUUUAUUUUAAAACUGAUGAACUUAUUUUAAUAUUUGAUGAUCUAAUUUUAAAACCGGAGAAUGUUUUUGCAAAAUAGACGAACUGUUUUUCUAGCAUAUGUACCUUUUGAAAAUUCAUGAACUUUUUUUCAAUUUUUGGGCUUUUUUUAAAAGUUGAUGAGCUUUAUUCAAAAUCGUGAAAUAUUUUCCAUCUAUGUGCAACCUCUUUUUUCAAAAUCAUGAACAUUUUCGAAUUGAUGAACUAUUAACAGAGAUUAUACGCAUGACCUUUUUUGAAUUCGCAAACUUUUUGUUGAAAUAUCUGCAUUCUAUUUGAUUUUCUGAUUAUUAUUUUCAAGCUAGCGAGCGUGCUCGUGGGCUCACCCAUGCUAGCAAUGGUGCGAGCUGGCACUGGCGCAAAACGCGUCAAUUAGGAAGAGCAACUAAUUAAGGAGUACUCGUCCGAGAGCCUCUCGAAGGGUCCAUUGCCACGUGUCGUACUCUUGGUGUUUCCUUUGGAUUUUUUUCUAUACAUAUUUAUGUCUGGAAUUUUGGCUUUAAGAUGAUUUUGUUUUCCGGGUUUUUUUGGCUUUUCCGUUUACCCCCGAUUUUUCUUACAAUUUAGACCCAAAAAUAAGAUUUUAAAGAAAAAUCACAAAAAAAUGCAUUUUCUCUUUCUUUUUUCCUACCCUGAGAGACAUGGAUUUGCUUCUCUUAGAGGCACAUGUGCCUCCUGAAAAAGCAAAAAAAAUGUUUUUUCCUUCCGCGAGGCAAGGUCGUGCCUCUCAGAAAAGAAAAAAGAUCCAUUUUUCCUUUCACGGAAGUACGGAUUUGCUUCCCUGAAAGGCCUAGUCGUGCAUCUUGAAAAAGGAAAAAUGCAUGUUCUCAUGAAGGAAAACAACGUGGUUUUAGUUUGGUUUUUUUGUUUGAUUUUUUCGUGAAAAAAAGUCCAACGAAACAUAUCAACAUGUGGUCUAGUUUUUAAGAUCUCGACGCAUGGAAUCUAACGGCAAAACCAGUUCUAGAUUUGGACGUAGGUUUUGAGAGAUAAAAUGUUUUGAAUAAACAAAUCUGCGAAAAAGGAAAAACCCUUAGGUUGCUACAAGUGACGCACAUGCAGUUGAAGACUUGUCGCACCCUGGGUUGGGGGAGUGAUCUUUGCCAAGAGUAGUUUUCAAUUAGUGAUUUCGCUAAUUAGAAGCUCGCAUCAUCUCCGAUGCGAGCACUAGUGGAUCAGCCCAUGUGCGCUCAUAUGGGUUUUUUGGAGCGGCUUUUGGAAGCUUCUAUGGAGCUGUUUAGACAAAUUUGAAAACCUUUCAUUCAUUUUUUAUGUGUUCACUAUAUAGAUUUACAUGGACUAAAGUAAAAUGUAGAUUUACAUUAUUUUUUCCCUUAGUUUUCUUUGUGUGUUUUUAUUCAUUUUUUGAAUACACAUGGAAUUUUUGGAAAUACAGUUCGAAUAUUUUUUGUUUACAUGUUAUUUCUUUUAUACACGUUGAUGAUUUUUGUAGACACAUUUAAGUGUUUUCCAAAAUAAACAGUAUUGAUUUGUCAAAUGAACAUUGGAUUUCUUAUGAAUAUAAGGUGAACAUUUAUGAAACACCCAUUGAACAUUUAGAAAAAUUCCAUGAACAUUUUUUUCUUAAAGCAUGCAAAACAGUUCUUAAUGUUAGAACAUAUUUUUUAAUGUCAAAGACAUUUUUGUUGAAUGGUACAAAAUAUUAUUUAAAAUUACAAGACCAUUUUUACAUACUAGAAACAGUUGUGGAAAAUGUUAUGACCAUAUUUUUGAAACGGCUGAAUAUUGUUUAAAUUUCAUAAAUAUAUUUAGAAUGGUAUGUCAAAAGUUUAAAAAUAUGUGAAUAUUGUUUCUACAUUGUAUAAAAAAUUUAAAAACUGUCAUGAACAUAUUUCUGAACACAUGAACUAAAUGUCAGGAACAUUUUUCGAAUGGUACAAACAUUUUUAAAAUUGUGGAGACAAUUUAUUACACUACAUGAACAUUUAUUUGAAACACGCAAUGAACAAGGGGUAAGGGACACGUGUCAUGUGCUUUGCUAGCGCAUCGUGGUUGCUGAGUGUCUCAUUCCUUUGUUGUUGAGUUUUGUUUUAGUGCGGAGUGUUUUUACAGUAUACUCGAGAAAGAUCCUACGUUACGAAGGAUGUGUUUGGUAGGCGUUUCUAGCGGGACUGGCUCGUGGACAUUGGCUCAACAAAGUUUGGUUGAGAUAAAACGAUCAUAAAACUAACAUCUGCAUUUAGUUUGGUUGCCGGCAUACAUUCUAAACUGAAUGGGGUGUCAUGAAAGACAUACUAUUUGGUUGUCUGUUUGUGUAUGCGCAAACACAAGGCCUACUAUUUGGCUGCAUGCAACACUUGUUGUGAGAUAACCUCUUCGAUGCGGUGGUGAGGUUACCAUCACAUAGCGGCGUCAGGAAGAACACACAACAUAACAUAGUAGUAAGCAGUUAUAAAUAUUGUGUCACAUUUAAAUAGAUUAGUUUAAAUGCAAAGCAGUUCAAUAUUAAACUAAAGCAACUAGAGCAUAUGAGCGGUUGUCCUAGACGUUCACAACGAAGGCAUCGUCAUGUCUCCCGCACCAGGCCACCACUUUACUGCCAUCGUCAUUGAAGACGAUGACCUUCACCAUGUCGGGAGUCAUCAACUGUGACCAUGAAGCCUAUCUUGAUUUGUUGGACGGCGACGAAGGUGGCCCAAACCUGGUCGAGGGUGACCCUUUCGUUCAACAGACGGACAAUGACCCUCCUAGAGCACUCGGUGUUCGCCUUCAAAUUGAACUCCUGUGGCAUAGACGGGAAGUGCUUCAUGAAGUCGAGUGGCAUAGGUAUGGCCUCGAGUGGCAUGAUUACCUUGCAGAAGUUAUUUGGCUCACCCAUCUCAUGGUAGUGGUCGUAGUUCUGACGCUUGUCGCUGGGGGGCUCCUCCGCGUAUCGUUGUCCGUGACCGGGCUCUGGACAGGCGCCACCUUUGAGGGCGGCACAACAUCCUUGCACUUGUAUUGCUCCUUUGGUGGCACCACCUCAUUGCCCUUGUUCUCCGUGUCGAUUUGCAGUGUGAAGAGGUUCAAACGAUUGGGUCAGGAUUUGCAAUAUGAACAUUGCAUCAUUGUCAUUAACUUAUUGUCGAGAACCCCAUUAUUUACCUAGGCUGAUGGUUACCACUUACCCACCACCUAGUUGUUUGUCUCUCUUCCUCCAACCCAAUGCCAUGAACUCUAAGAACAAGUCUAACCCCAUCCGCAACCCCUUUCCUUGGGGCAUUGGAUGGAGGGCCUUCUUCCUAGGGUGCUCGCUCGAUGACCGCACCAAGUUUGAGAACACCAUGAAAGUGUGUUCAAACUUCAACAGCUUGGAGGAGCAGUACAAAGAGUAGGACGCUAUGGUGAAGAAGGCGAGUCGGAGGAGUUGAAGACGCUGAUCAGUGACCCAAUGAAGGGUUCUAUGUGAGCCGACAUACUUCAUUGAGCCAUGAAUCAAGCCGUCCCCGGCGACGCUGGACAGAGGGAAAACUGAGCCAAGUACAGACAGCAUCGGUGUUCUUAUGACCACGGGGCCGCAACGUACUUCACCACAAAGAUUAUGGUGGUGCCGGUGGAGGAGCAUCAAGAAGUGCUGGCUAUGGAGGUGGAAGAGGAAGAUGCAGUGGCGACGAUUGUGAGGGCGCUGGAGCUAGGACACCUAAGCAUGCCAAUCAAGUUGGACUCCGGCGAGGAAGAAGAUAUGGUGGUGUAGGUCGAGGAGAAGACCAAGGCCAAGGCUACCCACCGCUCCAAUCGCCUCCAGGGUCCUGUGUACUAUGUAAGAUGAACCCUAAUCCCCAUUCCGAUUGUACUCAAUCCUGAUUGGGAACCUCAUAUCUACCCGUAGUCAUGACGAUGUUAUGACCACUCCUAUGGUGUUUACCCCGAUUCCCCAUUCUCCUAACAUGGAUCGAACCUAAACUCGGAUCAAAUGCAAAGUAGUACAUGAGGAGGGGGGAAAGUGCUUACCGCCAUUGCCGAAGUGCUGCUGUGGAUGCCGGUGAAGAGGCCGGAGUCGAUUUGCUGUUCCUCGAUCUGAUGCACGCCAUCGCCGCCGUCGGUGAGAGUAGGGAGAGUGGAAAGAGAGCGGUGAGAAAAGGUAAGGGUAAUGACUGUCGACGCUUCGGGAAACAACGCGGCUUCUCAAGGGUGGCUCCCCUUGUGCAACCCCUGCCGCCCACGUGCAUCGCAGAGGCCUGGCUCGCGAGAAACUACCAAUUCGAACGUGCCUCGCGAGACAUACCCAGACAUGCUUUAAAGUUCGUGACAUGCAGGCCCAACAAUGUAUGUUGACAACCAAUCAGUUUGUUUUCUUUCCACGGGCCUGGUUGGACCUUAUGCGGGCAACCAAACGCAUCCCCAAGUGUUGUUUAUUUGUCGGAAUUUUCUAAGGUACUGGGCAAACGACAUGUGUACUGAGUGCCCAUGAAAUUACACCAGGCAAACUGUAAAAUACUCAGCGUAAUUUUUUUCCUGUAGUUGUACAAUUGGCUGCGCUGCAGUUCCAAAUUUGAUAAAGUUACAAGGUUGGUGUACCAGAAAUUCAUUAUCUACCAAUCAUCAAUAUGUAUGCACAAAACAGUUGCCUGUCUGGGCCUUUGUAUCAACGUCCAUCCAUGUGUAACACGUUCAGCGGAACCGUCUACCAAACGUCUGACAGACACAGACACGUGCAUAUCCUCCAAACCGGGCAGGCUGGUUGCUUGCGCCCUCGUCGCUUUCUUGUCGAACUGGCUCCAUAUAUAGACUAAUGCACACCACAGUUCAAUUUCCAUUUUCGUUUCAGUCAUCGUACAUAUGACUGCAUUAUUCAGCUAACGUUUAAGCAUAGGGAUUUUUAUUUUCAUGUCCCGUCUUUCUUAGUUAUGAUUAGUUUUGCCCCGUUCAUUUAACAUUGCUCACUUUUUUCCCUUCUUUACUCAUCUACGCCUCGUAAAAGAUCAAACGGUGUGUUGACAUUGGGUUAGACCAGGGGCGGUCCUCAGAUUUUGGGGGCCCGGGGCUGGAUUAAAAGCCGGGGCCCUUAAUAUAGACAUAAUAACAAUAACACUGAAUAUACGUACCGGUGAAAUAUAAACACUUAAAUACGUCUAAUACUAAUAUGCAUAUCAAAUGUUUUAAAAAUAUUACCUCAAACAAUAAUUCUGACAUACCUUGAUGCAAAGGCCAUUAUGAUGGCGUCGAUGUUAAUAGCGUCCAAUAAUUUCUUCUCGAUGACAUAAUGUCACCAGACCAUAUAAACACUCUUGGUUCAUCGGUGACCUCACAUAGUUCUUCAAUCAAUAUUUCCAACUUCAGAGAGCUUCUUCCGACCAAUACGAUAGUCACAGGCAUAGUAAAUAGGAUGCAAUAAGCAAUGGAAAUAUCAGGAUAACAGCCAACUUCUAUUGACAUGCUGCAAAUCUCCAUUGCAGAUAUUACAGUCAUAUGGCAGAAUGAAUCCCACAAUUUUUAAUUUAGAAGUAAGAUCAUACUCCCUCCGUUCCUAAAUAUAAGACCUUUUAAAGAUUGCACUAUAAACUAUAUAGGAUGUACAUAGACAUAUUUUAGAAUAUAGAUUCACUCAUUUUGCUCCGUAUGUAGUCUCCUAGUUGAAUCCCUAAAAGGUCUUAUAUUUUAAAACGGAGGGAGUAUAUCUCAACAUCAUGAUACACAAUGCUGACAAAUAACAUUAAUUGUUGAACAAUAUCGAUGUACCGGCGAUGCAUCUACAGAAGCACAAUAAGAAUAUAUGAUAUACGUACCUCGGAUGGCUGAAUCAGCCAUGACGGAAAAUCAAAGCCGGAUUAUAGGACGCCCCGACGAAUUGAAAUCGACGGCGCGCAGCUGAUGAUCUAAAUUAGGAAAGAAAUUAGGUUUGGGAGAAAAGUAGAAAGGAGGGUCGAGCACGCAGUGGCGAACAGACGAUGCGUCGGCGGCCGCUAGGAAUCGCUGCGUCAAUGCGAGAUGGAAUAGGAAGGGAUCAAUCACUCCUAUUUUUUCGUGAAAAAACGGAAGGAACGGUUGCUGCCUUUGUGCCUCGCUGGACUGCUGGGUGCAUGUUUGCCUGCAUGCUACGUGAGGCCCAGUCAACCAACCCGAUAGGUCAUUUUUUUCUGAUCUGUAAAAACAUUAAAUAUGUUUGGACAAAGCCUAUGUACAUACGUGGGGAGGGCCCCCUAAACUUUGGGGGCCGGGGCGGCCGCCCCCCCCUGCCCCUCCCCUCGGCCGGCCCUGCGGUUAGACUACCAACAAUGAAAGUAACAUAGGUGGUAACAUAGAUAUCAUCUAAACAACAAAUGUGAUGUGGCAACUAAUUAAAGAAAAGUAAGAGAAAUUGAAUAACUUAGCAUGUUACUCAUAUUAGGAGUAACAUAGCGGAUACCAAGGCAAGAUGGGUGUAUAGGCUAAUAAAUAAAAGACUCAAUGUUACUACCCCUAUGUUACUAUCCACUAUGGAGGUAGUAACUUAGAUUAGUAACAUAUGUAUGUUACUCCCCAUUGGUCUUUCAGCGGCGUUCAGAGACUCCUUCAUAUUAUUAGACAUAAUUAUGUCUAGAGACACAACACACGAGGCUAUACGUAAAUCACCCUUAGAAUACCAGCGAGCUCUCGUUUAACCUACGGACCCGAUGGGCCAUGUUAAGACUGGUAUGAAUACCAGCAAGCUCGCUGACAAGGAUCCGACGACUCCAUUACCCCUCGCAUCGCUUAGAGAAAAAACCCGAUACAAGUCACCCCCUUGACUUGAUCUGGAAUUAUCUGCGAGAUGCCAUCUAUGCUCUCAUCUAUCAACAAUUUCAACACAUGUUCUGCCGGAGUUUUGGUGCUUGGAAACCAUGAGCAAACCGCUUGUCACUUCUCCCGUGAGAGAGCGUCACCGGCACAGAACACCUCCAAUGGUUUCGUGAUUGCCGAUGGCGGCUGCAGGAUUGGGGGAGGUAGGCUGCUCGGGCUGCGGGGGAUGCGAAUUGAGAGAGAGAGAGAGAGAGAGAGGGAGGGAGAGGGAGAGGAAGAGAGAGAGAGAGAGAUUUCGUCCCCCUUUUUAGGACAAAUGACCCAACCAUCCACUAGCCGGUCCCACAUGUCAGCAUUUCAUGUCAGUCCCAUGCGUCCACGCGUCAACACCGGACGAAGUAACGGUCAACAGUUUUGACCCGACGGUGAGGCAUUGUUUGGCCUUUUGCGAGACGGAGGCGAGUAGAGGAGGGAGAAAAGUGAGUAAUGUUAGACGGACGAGGCAAACUGAGCACAACUAAGUAACGAUGGACGAGGCAACUUACGUAAAACCAGCUACAAUUAUAAUAGCUUUCGAUGUACACCCGUGUGAUCACCAGCCAUCUAACAACCUUUGCCGACAGUUGUCCUUCAUCCACAAAGACAACAUCAUCCAAAUAAUUCACUUGCAAUCCAGGUUUCUCUAUCAUCUCUUUGGACAUUGUGAUAUUUACUAAUUCCCGAUCCAGAGGUCUCAUACGCCAUGGCGAUGUCAUGACCAGUCUAGGAGAAGAAGCACCUCGUAAACUAGAGCGGAACAGAACCUGGGUUUUCUAGGCAUGGCCUCUCGAUAAGAAGUUGAGAAGAUUAUGGCUGAUACAUGGUGAGAUAGGAUGAGGUGUCUACGCUGCCAUACGACAAAACCCUAGUAACAGGGGAUGCUUUAUCUGUGUUAUUUUUUAAUUAAAUCACAUGAAUAAUUGGCCGUGUGUAUGUAAUUCUAUAUUAAUAUAAUAGGACACAAAGAGGCAGGUCCAUAUCAUCUCGGCCAACAAAUCUAAGAUUUGAUGGUUCAUGUUGAGCACCAAGAGACGAAAACCGCUCGCGUCGCCUCCAGGGGGCGACACGGGCGCCCUAGCCGCCGUCGCCCUCGACCUCCCUCCUCCCCCGCUUCCCCGCCGUUGCCGGAGGAGGCCGGCGAGCGAAGCUCGCCCGGCGGACGACGGACGGCGGGCCUUCCUCCCUUCUUCACGAGGGGGUCCUUUGGCUGAGAUGCGACGGCGCCCCUGGGGGUACAACAUGGAGGCGGAGUUGGCGUGCUCGGGCGGCGUGGGAUCCCGGCGGCGCUGCGGGGGCUGGCGGCGGCGGAUCUGGGGUUCCCCACCCCAGAUCGGUUCUCCUCCGGGUGGUCGGGCUCAGGCGCCGUCCAGCGGCCCUAAGCGGUGGUGGACGCGCGCGUUGACUGUCCUCCUUCACAGAUGUGAUUGGAAACGACAGGAGGUGUUGGCGUGCUGCUAGAUCUGAACAAGGUGAUGGCGUCAUCCCCUUCAUCAGGGAUGACGACCAGGUGGUGGGUUCUUGUGGCGUCGCCGGUGGCGGCGGAUCUUGGGAUCCAGUUCCCGGGGACGUCGUGGGAUGUGGUGGCCCGUGCAGGAGAGAUGGGUUCUUCGAACAGAUCUGGGUCAAAGCUUGCUUUCGGCUAUUGCUAAGGUCGGCGAUGGCGGCGCUGUCUACAUCGUUCCCUUCCUGAAGGCAUCGCCGAGGAGAACUUCAGGGCCACUCUCUGCUACCUCCUGGGGUAACCCUAGAUCAGUAGAUCGGAUGACGGCGACGCUCUGGUGUCAUUUCCCCCUUGGGGGCGUCAUUCAUGGUGGUACACACGGGCUCGAGGGACCAUUGGUCGGCAUUUACGAUGGAGCAGCGUUCCUAGUGACACAUCGACGUUGUGGAGUCUCGGCGGCGAGGCGCGGCAAAGUCUCGGCAAUGAAUGCAUGAUGAUGAGCACGCGUAGGGAGGAGGCGUUGUCUGGCGCCGUGGGGGCAUCGAUGGCAGGCCUUGCAAGGUCGAUGCGUCAGUAAUUUUUCUGAAGAUGGAUUGAUGGAAGGCGGCGACGACGACCUAUGAGGGUGCGUCGGACCGUUUGUGCCCCUGACCCGGUAUGUGGCUCUGUCGGGGCCUCCGGCUUUAGAUGUUAGGCUAGGUGAGAGGUCUGGGUAUGUGGCUCACACUUUCUGCACCCCCUUCAUCAUUGUAUAUGAGUAGCGACAGAUGUUGCCAAGAGGACGGCUUCAGACAUACGCUUAACACUCUAGCUAAUUGACCACCAGUAGCACGGGAGAGGUGUUUUGGCUCCCGGGUAUAUGCACUCGGAUGAACAGUACUGCGAAAAAAGUUCUAAUUUUUUUUGUAGAUGAUUGUAUUAGUGUCGCAAAUAUGCAUGACAAUUUUCGUGCGAUAAGGAGCAACGGUGUUUCAUCAGCAAAAAAGACAAAUUUAGGAUGACAUUUUGGGGUAACUUUUGGUGUUCAAUUUGUUUUUCUUGCACAAACCAAAAUGUUUUAUCUUUUUGUCUCAAAAUUUACAAGUAGUAUUUGGAUGUGACAAAGCAUACAAACAAAUUUUGUCUCAUUUUUUUCCAUUUCAAACUUUUUUUUGGCCCCGAAAGCAUAUGCCGGGAGCCGAAUUGCAUUUCCGCCGGUAGCACUAGUUACAUACACACUAGACUCCGCGCAAUCCCAUGAAAUCUGUUUGGCGAUUAACAUACGGCUAAAUAUCAACAUGCAAAUAUUAUCUUACCAAAUGUACCAAAUGUGUAACUAGUAUCUUAAUUCUACUCCCUUCAUAAACUAAUAUAAAAACAUUUAAAAACAAUGCUUUAGUAAUCUAAACGCUUUUAUUUAAUUUACAAAAGGAGUGCUACCUAAUAUCAACAUGCAUUGCACCAACUCCCUUCAAGGUCUAAUGCGUUUUUAGGGUUGCCCUUGACUAUUGAUAAGAUUAAUAAUAUAUGAGAUCUAUGAUAAAGAGUCUUUUCACAUCCGAAUUUGACAAUAUACCUGUAACAUGCAAGUUAUAUAUAUAUAAUUGCUCUAACCCGUGGCCAAAGGAAAUCUUGCAAAAUGUAUCGGAUGAAGGGAGAACAUGAUAAUACCAGUCUAACAAAUAUAUCCUCUCCAAUCGCAAACAUUUAUCCCCUUGGAUCACAACCAUGCAUACCCCUUUUGAGUACUCCCUCCGUCCCAAAAUUAAUGUCGAGCAUGUAGUUCAUUGGGAAUUUUGCAAAAAAAAACCUCGUAUUUACAAAAUCGUCUCAAACAAGCACCUCCACCCCUAUCUUCUUCGUCCGUCCUCGCCCGUGCAUCGCGAGAGGCCGCGCCGUCGAACUGGAAGGGCUCCGCCGCCGUCGCCGCCAAUUACCUCCUCCAUCACCACAACCCAGAUCUGCGCCACCGGAUCUCUUCCCGCUGCAGUUACCUGUCGGCGUCGUUCUCGAGCUCCUGCCGGCGUCGGAACCUUCCGCCACUUCGUCCUCUGGCUCCCAUGCGUCAUCCUCGAGCUCCCGUGCAUCCUCCCCAAGCUCACGCGCAUCCUCGCUGGAAUCUCUACUGCUCCUUCUCCCUUGCAGCCGGUGUGCCUGCUUAUCCCCUGUCACCGGAGGAGCUCCUCUGCACGUACUUGUUGGAAUUAUGCCCUANNNNNNNNNNNNNNNNNNNNNNNNNNNNNNNNNNNNNNNNNNNNNNNNNNNNNNNNNNNNNNNNNNNNNNNNNNNNNNNNNNNNNNNNNNNNNNNNNNNNNNNNNNNNNNNNNNNNNNNNNNNNNNNNNNNNNNNNNNNNNNNNNNNNNNNNNNNNNNNNNNNNNNNNNNNNNNNNNNNNNNNNNNNNNNNNNNNNNNNNNNNNNNNNNNNNNNNNNNNNNNNNNNNNNNNNNNNNNNNNNNNNNNNNNNNNNNNNNNNNNNNNNNNNNNNNNNNNNNNNNNNNNNNNNNNNNNNNNNNNNNNNNNNNNNNNNNNNNNNNNNNNNNNNNNNNNNNNNNNNNNNNNNNNNNNNNNNNNNNNNNNNNNNNNNNNNNNNNNNNNNNNNNNNNNNNNNNNNNNNNNNNNNNNNNNNNNNNNNNNNNNNNNNNNNNNNNNNNNNNNNNNNNNNNNNNNNNNNNNNNNNNNNNNNNNNNNNNNNNNNNNNNNNNNNNNNNNNNNNNNNNNNNNNNNNNNNNNNNNNNNNNNNNNNNNNNNNNNNNNNNNNNNNNNNNNNNNNNNNNNNNNNNNNNNNNNNNNNNNNNNNNNNNNNNNNNNNNNNNNNNNNNNNNNNNNNNNNNNNNNNNNNNNNNNNNNNNNNNNNNNNNNNNNNNNNNNNNNNNNNNNNNNNNNNNNNNNNNNNNNNNNNNNNNNNNNNNNNNNNNNNNNNNNNNNNNNNNNNNNNNNNNNNNNNNNNNNNNNNNNNNNNNNNNNNNNNNNNNNNNNNNNNNNNNNNNNNNNNNNNNNNNNNNNNNNNNNNNNNNNNNNNNNNNNNNNNNNNNNNNNNNNNNNNNNNNNNNNNNNNNNNNNNNNNNNNNNNNNNNNNNNNNNNNNNNNNNNNNNNNNNNNNNNNNNNNNNNNNNNNNNNNNNNNNNNNNNNNNNNNNNNNNNNNNNNNNNNNNNNNNNNNNNNNNNNNNNNNNNNNNNNNNNNNNNNNNNNNNNNNNNNNNNNNNNNNNNNNNNNNNNNNNNNNNNNNNNNNNNNNNNNNNNNNNNNNNNNNNNNNNNNNNNNNNNNNNNNNNNNNNNNNNNNNNNNNNNNNNNNNNNNNNNNNNNNNNNNNNNNNNNNNNNNNNNNNNNNNNNNNNNNNNNNNNNNNNNNNNNNNNNNNNNNNNNNNNNNNNNNNNNNNNNNNNNNNNNNNNNNNNNNNNNNNNNNNNNNNNNNNNNNNNNNNNNNNNNNNNNNNNNNNNNNNNNNNNNNUGUUGGAAUUAUGCCCUAGAGGCAAUAAUAAAUGUGGUUAUUAUUAUAAUUCCUGUAUCAAGAUAAUAGUUUAUUAUCCAUGCUAUAAUUGUAUUGAAUGAAGACUCAUUUACAUGUGUGGAUACAUAGACAAAACACCGUCCCUAGCAUGCCUCUAGUUGGCUAGCCAGUUGGUCAAUGAUAGUCAGUGUCUUCUGAUUAUGAACAAGGUGUUGUUGCUUGAUAACUGGAUCACGUCAUUGGGAGAAUCACGUGAUGGACUAGACCCAAACUAAUAGACGUAGCAUGUUGAUCGUGUCAUUUUGUUGCUACUAUUUUCUGCGUGUCAAGUAUUUAUUCCUAUGACCAUGAGAUCAUAUAACUCACUGACACCGGAGGAAUGCUUUGUGUGUAUCAAACGUCGCAACGUAACUGGGUGACUAUAAAGAUGCUCUACAGGUAUCUCCGAAGGUGUUAGUUGAGUUAGUAUGGAUCAAGACUGGGAUUUGUCACUCCGUGUGACGGAGAGGUAUCUCGGGGCCCACUCGGUAAUACAACAUCACACACAAGCCUUGCAAGCAAUGUAACUUAGUGUAAGUUGCGGGAUCUUGUAUUACGGAACGAGUAAAGAGACUUGCCGGUAAACGAGAUUGAAAUAGGUAUGCGGAUGCUGACGAUCGAAUCUCGGGCAAGUAACAUACCGAAGGACAAAGGGAAUGACAUACGGGAUUAUACGAAUCCUUGGCACUGAGGUUCAAACGAUAAGAUCUUCGUAGAAUAUGUAGGAUCCAAUAUGGGCAUCCAGGUCCCGCUAUUGGAUAUUGACCGAGGAGUCUCUCACGUCAUGUCUACAUAGUUCUCGAACCCGCAGGGUCUGCACACUUAAGGUUCGACGUUGUUUUAUGCAUAUUUGAGUUAUAUGGUUGGUUACCGAAUGUUGUUCGGAGUCUCGGAUGAGAUCACGGACGUCACGAGGGUUUCCGGAAUGGUCCGGAAACGAAGAUUGAUAUAUAGGAUGACCUCAUUUGAUUACCGGAAGGUUUUCGGAGUUACUGGGAAUGUACCGGGAAUGACGAAUGGGUUCCGGGAGUUCACCGGGGGGGGCAACCCACCCCGGGGAAGCCCAUAGGCGUUGGGGGAGGCACACCAGCCCUUAGUGGGCUGGUGGGACAGCCCACAAGUGCUCUAUGCGCCAAGAGAAGAAAAAUCAAGAGGAAAAGGGAAAAAAAAGGAGGAGGUGGGAAAGGAGGAGGACUCCCUCCCACCAAACCUAGUCCAACUCGGUUUGGGGGGGGGAGAGUCCUCCCCCUUGGCUCGGCCGACCCCCUUGAGGGUCCUUGGACCCCAAGGCAAGGCCCCCUCCCUCCCACCUAUAUAUACGGAGGUUUUAGGGCUGAUUUGAGACGACUUUUCCACGGCAGCCCGACCACAUACCUCCACGGUUUUUCCUCUAGAUCGCGUUUCUGCGGAGCUCGGGCGGAGCCCUACUGAGACAAGGUCAUCAUCAACCUCCGGAGCACCGUCACGCUGCCGGAGAACUCUUCUACCUCUCUGUCUCUCUUGCUGGAUCAAGAAGGCCGAGAUCAUCGUCGAGAUGUACGUGUGCUGAACGCGGAGGUGCCGUCCGUUCGGUACUAGAUCGUGGGACUGAUCGCGGGAUUGUUCGCGGGGCGGAUAGAGGGACGUGAGGACGUUCCAAUACAUCAACCGCGUUCUCUAACGCUUCUGUUGUACGGUCUACAAGGGUACGUAGAUCACUCAUCCCCUCUCGUAGAUGGACAUCACCAUGAUAGGUCUUCGUGCGCGUAGGAAAAUUUUUGUUUCCCAUGCGACGUUCCCCAUCAGUACUGCUGCUGGUCAUCUGCCUGAGUUGUUGCUGCUCCUCUGCUGGAGUUGAUGCUCCUCUGCUCGAUCUACUCUGCCGCUGGUGAAGCUCUGCCCGUGGUACUGCUAUUCCUCUGCCCAUUUGCACCUGAAGAAGGUACUGAUGAAACUGUUUGUUGUUUACUGCUACCUAAAACUGCUGUUGUUUGAGAAACUGCAUUGCUUGAGAAACUUGUAAUGUUGUGGUAUCGAAAAUAAUUUUGUGCAAUACUUGUAAUGUUGUGGUAUCAAAAAUAAUUUUGUGGAGUAUCAGAAACAGAGAAGCCUGGUUCAAGGUUUUGCACUGGAAACAGAGCAGUCUGGUUCAAGGUUGUGCACUGGAAACAGAGCAAUCUGGUUCAAGGUUUUGCCUAGAUAAACCAGACCGGAUGAGAGACCAAAUACAUGGGCAAGUAGUCAAAAGAAACACAUAAUUUGCCUAGAAUCUUGUUGUCCUGUGAUGCAAGAAAAUUUCACCAUGUGUAUGUUGUGGAACGCUUACAGUUGCACAAAUCAGACAUAUCAGUAGGUUGGUUCAGGUGUUGGUUCUUGGCCUAUUAACAUAGAAAGCCCCUUUGUAACUACUAGGACAAUCAGCUUGUGUAAAGAUCAUAUUUAGAGACGAAUUGCAAGCAUUAACCUGAUCUUAACAUAUAUAAAUGGAUAUUAAGUUUUCCAUUUUAGGCGAAUACAGAUAGAGGUUUCAACUAGACCUAGUGAGAAAUGGUUCCAUGGUAGCAUUUCUUGUUUGGCUGUCGUAGCUCGAUUACAUAUUGUUUUUACGUGCGUAUAUAUUCUUGUUACAGUACCAUGGUGUACUCAUCUUUUGUCAUUGAUAGCAGGAGUAUGGAUUUGAACAUGAUACCUCAAGAGGAGGAUGAAGGUAUUAAUUUGAAUUGGAUCCCUCAAGAGGAAGAGGCUCAAGGGGGAGAGGAUGGAGGUAUGGAUUUGAACAUGAUGCCUCAAGAGGAAAAGGAUGAUGGUAUUAAUUUGAAUUGGAUCCCUCAAGACGAAGAGGAUCCAGGGGGAGAGGAUGGAGGUAUGGAUUUGAACAUGAUGCCUCAAGAGGAAGAGGAUGAAGGUAUUAAUUUGAAUUGGAUCCCUCAAGAGGAAGAGGCUCAAGAGGAAGAGGAUGAAGUUAUGAAUUGGAUACUUCAAGAAGAAGAAGAAGGUCAAGAAGGUGUACCAGGUAAACAGAAAAGAAAAGAAUUGUCAAAUAAGGAGAGGCAUGCUGUUUACUUUGCUCUGCUAGUAAUCGAGCUCAGAGAUGGAUCUGUUCAACCAAACGACAAGCUGCUAGUAUCAAUCUUGUUGAACAUACAUGUACGAUCUAUUGAGAGAAUCUGGUCGGAGCCAAAAAGCAGAUUGCCGCGGGCCAAGAAGUAGAUGUCUCCAACAAGAAGAAAGGAAGAGUUGGUCGAAAGAGAAAAGAGCUGGAUCUUGCAAGGACCUCAACAAUCCCAUUGAAUAGAAGAAGGACAAUUCGAUCUCUGGCACGGUCUCUCGGUGUGACCCGCUCAACCCUACAUCGGAGGUUCCAGUUAAAUGAGCUCAACCGCAUCACAAACACAGUCAAGACUUACCUCAAACCAGAGAACAAGAUUGCAAGAUUGAAGUUUUGUAUGUCCAUGCUCGAUGACAAUUGGAUCUCAACUUCCCAAGCUAUAUUCAAGCCAAUGACUAAUAUGGUCCAUAUAGAUGAAAAGUGGUUUGACAUGACAAGACUAAAGAACAACUACUAUGUACUUCCAGGAGAGCCUCCACCUGAGCGCACCGUGACAAACAUUAACAUCAUUGGGAAGGUAAUGUUUCUAACGGUUGUGGCCAGAUCUCGAUACAAUUAUGAUGGAGAGCUAACAUUUGACGGGAAGAUUGGUAUUUGGGCAUUCAUCAAAGAGUCUGAGGCAGUGCGAACGAGUCACAAUAGAGCAAGGGGAACGACAGUGCUGAAACCAGUGAAAGUAACGAGACCUGUGUGUAGAGAAUAUCUGAUCAAUAAGGUUAUACCAGCAAUUCAAGAUAAAUGGCCUGACGAUGAUGAGGGAGCAACAAUAUUCAUCCAACAAGAUAAUGCAAAGCCUCGCGUUCUUCCCAACGAUGAAGCUUUUCGAGAAGCUGUGGAAGAAACUGAUCUCGACAUUAAGUUGAUGCAACAACCUCCAAACAGCCCAGAUUUGAACUGUUUGGACCUCUGCUUCCACAAUUCUCUCCAGUCUCUAACCGAUUGUAGGUCACCUACAAACAUCCAGGAACUGAUACAGGGUGUGGAAGAGGAGUUUGAGAAUUAUGAUCCUCACAAGUUGUACAACAGCUUCAUCACAUUGCAAGCAGUUAUGUUUGAAAUUAUGAAAGAUCAAGGAGGAAACCAAUAUAAGUUGCCCCACUUACACAAGGAACGUCUUCAGAAUGACGGCAGAGAAAUAACAAGUGUAUAUUGUGACAGUCAGCUAGUUGCUGAUACUAGGGCCAUUCUAGAAGAAAUGCAAUAGGAAAAGGAAAGGAAGAAAAGAAGUAGUUGUAGAAAGGAAAAAAAGAAUUGAACUUAUCUGAAUUGUACUCCUUGUGUACUCCUUGUACUCCUUGUGUAUGUCUUGUGCAAUAGGAAAAUGCAAUUGGAAUCAUUUGAGAUCAAUGAUGAUACUGGUUAUCCAACAUUUCCAUCUUGUGUAUCGGAAUUCAUUUUAAUUGUUUGGACUAAUUUGUUUGAGUUUAUCUUGAGUUUAUCCAGCAUUUCCAUCUGUAUUGGAGAUCAAUGAUCUUGUGUAUUGGAAGGGUCAUGUACAUGGGGAUGUUGCCUCAAGUUUUAUUAAAUUUAUUGUUUCAGGUUUCAGUAUACAAAGAUUACUGGGGUAUUGUCUAUAGUUUGGAUAAACCAAAUAAAGUUCACAAAUCUUUAUUCCCUUUGUGCAUAAAGUUUACAAAUCCCAAGCAUAGAGUUGGGAUCAACAAAAAAAUUCUAAGCUUACAAAUCGUGAGUGCUUUCAUCUCAAAAAAAUUCUAAGCUUACAAAUCCAGAACUGGUAGCCUUCCUUAUCUCAAUUCUCUGGUACUGAUUUUUGCUCUCUUUUUUUACCUUCCUUCAACAAGUUGUUCCUUGAACUGCAGGUACUCAGGGACAGUCAACUCCUCGUCGUCUGAAUUCUCAAGUACAGUAGUACUAGUAGCUUGGUUCAGGUUGAUUCUCAAUGAUGCCCUGCACUUGACACUAAAGCCUCCAGCCUGCAGAUAUACAAACGAAAUACAGAUACAUGCAUCAGUCUGAACCUGAAGAAGAAGGAAUGCAACCUGUGAAAUGUGUGAAAUGCUCCUACCAACAGACAAUGGAUGGUUUUUUUGUUUUGAUUGGUCUUGCUCUCGGUUUGAAGAUGAAGUGGUGUUAUUUCGCUUACCGUUGAUGUUCAAGUGUAGGCUUUUGCCUGCCCAGCACCUCUUAACCAUGUCAUCUCCUUGCAGUGCGUCUGGUUCAGGCCGAGCUCCGGGAAGCGGCUGCGCAUCAGCGGCAGCAGCGUGUCCGACGUCCCCAGGUACAUGGACUGGAAGUUGGCCUCCUGUUUCUACACGAGCACCCUGAUGAAGAGGUCUUCGGGGAGAGCUGGGGCGACUUGUUGCCAUCUGGUGAGGACGUCCACGGCGCCCUGGUCGACGGACUUCGUGACGCUGAACAUUGUCACUGUCGGGGGACGGGAACGUGCUUCACCUGCCACGAGAGCACGACGCCGAAGCUCUCGCCGACGCCGUUUCCGACGCAGCCGGAGAAGACGGCGGCGGUAGGUGGAGAAAUCAUUGCUUUUUAUGAGGAAGGGGGAAGCUUGGGGAGGCAGGCGAGUCGCAACUGCGGCGGCGGAGCGGCGGGGGACCGGGGGAGCAGGGGAGUUGCGGCAGGCGGAGCUGCAGCGGGCGAGCGGCAGCUGCGGCGGGGGAGUAGGGCAGCUGCGGCGGCGAGGAGCAGGCAAGCUGUAGCGAGCGUAGAUGGGGCAUCUGUCGGAGGAGGAGGACGAGGAGCGCGGGUUUGGUCGGGAGAAGCUGUAGGGGCUUUUCGCAAAAUUACCGUCGCGACAUUAAUUUCGGGACGGAGGGAGUAGCAUCUAAUCCUUCCAAAUAACACAGAACAUACGUGUUGCACGACCCAAAUGGGGCCCGGUCAAUGACAUCAAUCCCAUAUGUCACUCUCUGCUCCUACUACCUCGCUGUCCAUUACUUCAUGGUAAAUCUGGGGACGAGGAGGACAUGGUCGUCUGUCUGGCUCUUCACCUCCCUCGGGAGCAGUGCACUCGACCACGGUUGGACUCUAACCGGUGGAAAUCCAUGGUGUCCGUUCAAAUGUCGUUUGGAUGCGCAGGGAUGAUUGCUCGAGGCGUGCGGGCGCGGCCUCGACGGACACAGUGAUCGCCGUCCAAUUCUAGUAUGAUGAUGCAACCCCUUUGGUGGUGCCUCAUCCCUACGCCCUCGGGCUCGGAGUCGAAGAUCUGCACCGGCAUGAGUUACGGUCCAUCUUCUAACAUGGAGUGGCAUACCCGUCGUGCAAGGCAAAGGCCGCGUGGCGAGACGUAGAUGCUCUAACCACAUCUAGAUGGGAUCACAUCGAUUUAUGAUAUCCCGACUUCCCGAUCAACGAGUCUCCUCUGAUCAAAACCAUGUUACCCUAAUAUGCAUGUAAAAAAGUUAGGCUAAUAUGCGCGUAAAAAAGUUGAUUAACUGCUGCUAAAAUGGUGUGAUGUGAUAAGCCGGCCCUCCCCAACAAGAAAUAAUAACAACUGCCCCCCUAUCUCUCAUAUCCAAUUUAUAUAUGAGCCGGAUAUAGCGAGGACUGGAUGCGUCCGUCAGGUUGUAUCCGGCUCACGCUGGUUCAUCCCGACCCAUAUAUAUCCGUCUCUAUCUCCAACCUGGACGAAACCCUAGCUACUCCACCCCUCUUCUUAGCUCCGUUCCGAUGAUCUCCAGCCAUCUCCGACAUUACAGGCAGCGUCCGACACGGAGUUGGGAUCUCGCCCCAUGCGGGGAUGAGGAGGACAUGGCCGUCCGGCCGGCACUUCGCCGCCCCCGGAAGGAGUGCGCUCGACCACGGUUGGACUCUAUCCGGCAAAAACCCAUGGUGUCCGUUCAAAUCUCGCUUGGAUCCGCAGGGAUGAUGGCUCGAGGCGUCCGGGCGCGGCCUUGCCGGACGCGGUGACCACCAUAAUAUUCUAACUCCGGGAUGGCGAUGCAACCCCUCCGGUUGCGCAUCAUCCCUAACAUGGAGCGGCGUACGCCGUCGUGCGAGGCAUAGGACGCGGGGGCGAGGUGUAGAUGCUCUAACCGCAUCUGGAUGAGAUCACAUCGAUUGAUGAUGUCCGGAUAAACGAGUCUCCUCAGAUCAAAACCGUGUAAUAAUCCUACAAAAUAAAGACAUCGCCCAACGUGUUCCAGAACGCUCUGAAUGAGACCCCGCGAAUGGCAACAACCAUACCAUUUAUGAGCAAGUUUUGUCAGUCCCCCCACCCGGCCAGCCCGUGACAUCGAUGUAGCAGCUUCCGUUCCUAUUUAACCAGCGUACCAUUUGCACUACAUUGCAUCACAGCAAGCACACACACACACACACUCUCUAGAGAAAUGGCGAUGGCUAGGACGACGGCGCUCCUCCUCGUCGCCGCGGCUCUCCUGGCGGCCUCAUCCAGCGCAUGGGAGGUGAACAUCCAGAUGCCGGCGUCGGCGGCCGUGGACGAUGCUGUGGCACCGCUCAUCCACGCGCUGCGGCCGCUCCUGGGCUCCGGCAAGCAAGCCGGCGUGGCGUGCGAUAGCUGGCGGCUGGGCGUGGAGGCGCACAACGUGCGGGACUGGAAGACGGUGCCCGCCAGCUGCGAGGAUUACGUCGGCCACUACAUGGUCGGCGACCACUACCGCCGGGACUCCAAGGUCGUCAUCGACCAGGCCAUCGCCUACGUCGACUCCCUCAAGCUCGCCGGCAACGGCAAGGAGGUCUGGGUCUUCGACGUCGACGAGACCACCCUCUCCAACCUCCCCUACUACGCCAAGCACGGCUUCGGGUACGU